RNAcentral lists this long non-coding RNA (84496 nucleotides) under Sorghum bicolor (sorghum). Its description in RNAcentral is "long non-coding RNA (SBIC_LNC012752)". The record is from RNAcentral. Lineage: Eukaryota; Viridiplantae; Streptophyta; Magnoliopsida; Poales; Poaceae.
GAACACAAGAACACUCGAAACUAAGGGUAGAUAUGAACCUAACGGUACACCUAAAGCUUUGAUUACCACUUGAUGAGAACACGGGUGGCCCGAUCUUCCGAUAGGUUCUGGUAACUCUCGAUUUGGUGGAGACGAGACACAAAUUGAUCCGGCUUCCGAACAACACGAUAUGAAACCCUGCAAUUUUCUUUAUUUUUUUCAUAUUUUUCUUUUAGUUAGGAGCACCAAAGGAGUAACCACAAAAAAUUUGAGCUUAAACAAGUUAAAGACAUGGCCCGCGGAAUUUUCUGAAUAUUGUGAAAAAUGUGAAAAAAACUUCACGAGGUGAAAACUCAAACUUUGGAGGUGAAUUUAGAGGAUCUAAAGUCAAUCAAACCCGCCAUUGAAGGGCAUAGACAGAUCCAAAAAAAUUUUCUGAUCGAUUUUGAUAUAUGGAACGUUGAAAUCGGAGUUCGUAUGCGGAAGUUAUGGCUAUUUUAUGAACGGACUCCGGAUUAGAGGACAAAACGGUCCGAAAAUGAGAAAAAAUUGCGGCGGUGGCUAGAAAUUGAUGGAAACAGUGGAGAAAAACAUAUGAACUGGACCCUAACAAGACCUAACCAGCAACAAGACCUCGACCAGGACACAAACUCAACACUACGGACUCUGAAACUAAAAUAUGCAAAUUCUAUGGCGUGGAAGGGUUGUAGGACAGGAAAAUGAUAUGGCACUGGACUUAUGGGACGAACACAAGAACACUCAAAACUAAAGAUAGUUAUGAACCUAAUGGUAUACCUAAAGCUUUGAUUACCACUUGAUUUGAACAAGGGUGGCCUGAUCUUCCGAAAGGUUCUGGUAACUAUCGAUUUGGAGAAGAAGAGACACAAAUUGAUCCGCUUUCGAACAACACGAUCCGAAACUCAGCAAAUUCUUUUUAUUAUUUUUUAAUAUUUUUCUUUCAGUUAGGAGCACCAAAGGAGUAACCAUAGAAAAUUUAAGCUUAAACAAGUGAAAGACAUGGCCUGUGGAAUUUUCUGAAGUUUGUGAAAAAUGAGAAAAAAACUUCACGAGCUGAAAACUCAAACUUCGGAGGUGAAUUUAGAGAUUCUAAAGGUGUCAAAUCCACCAAUGGAGGGGACAGACAGAUACAAAAUUUUUUCUGAUCAAUUUUGAUAUAUGGAACGUUGAAAUCGGAGUUCGUAUGCGAAAGUUAUGGCUAUUUUACAAACGGACUCCGGAUUAGAGGACAAAACAGUCCGAAAUUGGGAAAAAUUUGCGGCGGUGGCUAGAAAUUGAUGGAAACAGUGGGGAAAAACAUAUGAACUGGACUCGAUAAAGACCUAACGAGCAACAAGACCUCGACCAGGACACAAACUCAACACUGUGGACUCUCAAACUGAAAUAUGCAAAGGCUAUGGCGUGGAAGGGUUGUAGGACAGAAAAAUGAUAUGGCACUGGACUUAUGGGACGAACACAAGAACACUCGAAACUAAGGGUAGAUAUGAACCUAACGGUACACCUAAAGCUUUGAUUACCACUUGAUGAGAACAAGGGCGGCCCGAUCUUCCGAAAGGUUCUGGUAACUCUCGAUUUGGUGGGGACGAGACACAAAUCGAUCCGGCUUCUAAACAACACGAUCUGAAAGCCUACAAUUUUUUUUAUUUUUUUGAUAUUUUUCUUUGAGUUAGGAGCACCAAAGGAGUAACCAUAGAAAAUUUGAGCUUAAACAUGUGAAAGACAUGGCCUGUGGAAUUUUCUGAAGAUUGUGAAAAAUGUGAAAAAACUUCGCGAGGUGAAAACUCAAACUUCGGAGGUGAAUUUGGAGGUUUUAAAGUUUUCAAACCCGCCAAUGGAGGGGACACACAGAUCCAAAAAUUUUUUCUAAUGAAUUUUGAUAUAUGGAACAUUGAAAUCGAAGUUCGUAUGCGAAAGUUAUGGUUAUUUUACAAACGGAUUCCGAAUUAGAGGACAAAACGGUCCGAAAGUGAGAAUAAUUUGCGGUGGUGGCUAGAAAUUGAUGCAAACAGUGGGGAAAAACAUAUGAACUAGACUUUAACAAGACCUAACCAGCAACAAGACCUAGACCAGGAGACAAACUCAACACUUCGGACAAUGAAACUGUAAUAUGCGAAGGCUAUAGCGUGGAAGGGUUGUAGGACAGAAAAAUGAUAUGGCACUGGACUUAUGGGACGAAUACAAGAACACUCGAAACUAAAGGUAGUUAUAAACCUAAAGGUAUACCUAAAGCUUUGAUUACCACUUGAUUUGAACAAGGGUGGCCCGAUCUUCCGAAAGGUUCCGGUAACUAUCGAUUUGGAGGAGACGAGACACAAAUCGAUCCGGCUUCCGAACAACACGAUCCGAAACUCAGCAAAUUCUUUUUAUUUUUUUGUUAUUUUUCUUUCAGUUAGGAGCACCAAAGGAGUAACCACAAAAAAUUUUCUGUGGAGUAACAACAAGUGAAAUACAUGGCCUUUGGAAUUUUCUGAAGUUUCUGAAAAAUGAGAAAAAAAACUACACGAUGUGAAAACUCAAAUUUUGGAGGUGAAUUUGGAGGUUCUAAAAUUUUCAAAACCCGCCAAUGGAGGGGAUAGAUAGAUCCAAAAAAAUUUUUUGAUCGAUUUUGAUAUAUGGAACACUAAAAUCGGAGUUCGUAUGCGAAAGUUAUGGCUAUUUUACGAUCGGACUCUGAAUUAUAGGACAAAACGGUCCGAAAGUAGAAAAAAUUUGCGGCGGUGGCUAGAAAUUGAUGGAAACGGUAGAGAAAAACACACGAACUGGACUCUAUCAAGACCUAACCAGCAACAAGACCUCGACCAUGACACAAACUCAACACUGCGGACUCUGAAACUGAAAUAUGCAAAGGCUAUGACAUAGAAGGGUUGUAGGACUGGAAAAUAAUAUGGAACUGGACUUAUGGGACGAACACAAGAACACUCAAAACUAAGGGUAGAUAUGAACCUAACGGUACACCUAAAGCUUUGAUUACUGUUGACGGUCCUUAAUGCUCACAUUUAACCAUCAACUAAUCAUAGAAAAGGAUCCAAAUGCAACCAACACCUAGACUUAGGGUUUUAUCUGACAGAAUUCCACGAGUUUUGGUGUUUGUCUGUUUCUGCAGGGGGUUAUCAGGAAAUACGAAAGAAAGGCCCACACGUCGGGUUUACAUAGAGAUAUUAACGUGCUGCGCAAUUUUCUAUCAUCUAGAAGACUCCAGAAGCCACGGGACCGAACGGGAGACGUAACGGAGCCGGGCACUGGGCGCCCGCCCUCCCUUACUGGGCGCCCGCCCUCCCCCCUGGACCAAUCAGGGUGAAGUUCGGGGAUCAUGCUCCACCGACCUAAUACUUCAAGGAAAACCACACGAUCAAUGUCGGUUUGAUCCGACGGCCCAGAUUCACUUGAAGGGACUAUAAAACCAGACCCCCCUUGCCCCUGGAGAUCAUACCUCUUCUACAGAAUCAAAGCUAGGGUUUCAAUUCUUCAUCCAAGUAGAGAGGAUCCCUCUAGUUCUUCUAGUUCUACCUCUAGUUCAUCUAGAUCUAGUUCUAGUUCAUCUAGUUCUAGUUCUAGUUCCUCUAGUUCUAGUUCUAGUUAGUUCUAGUUGUAAUCUAGAAAAUAGGGAGAGAGAAGAGGAGAGCGGAGGAGGAGCCGGAUCUGUCGGAUCUUCCUCAACAUUGUACUUUUGCAGCAUCUGGUUCGUUCUUCAUCGUUCUCCAGGUUCUUCAAUUCAUAAUUCCUGAGUUCUUUAAUUACUUUUAUUUACAUUCAAGUUAUUUAUUGGUGUCGAGGGUAUCGGUAAGGGGUACCCUCAGCGAUGCGCAUUAUGAGAUUGCCCAUACAAAGGUUGGGACCCCCAAUUCGACGCCUUAAUCUUACUUACGCGCCGCCGACGACGGUCGCAGCCUCGAAUACGGAAAUAGCGUCGAGCGAACCGGUCAGGGCUCGAGCAGCGACUACCGUCGAAGGCGGAAGCGGGCUCGAGCGAACCGAGAGACGUCGAGCGUUAGGACACUGCCCGCCGCCUGACGCGCGCACGCGGGCGGGAGCAUUAAAUGCAUCUGACGUUUCCCACCUAACACCCGGGUCACGGAAGGCGUGAUAGGGAACAAGCUUCUGUCCCAUCGUUCUUUUUGCAGCCUUCCCACCGAACGACCCAGGGUGCGUCAGGACGCAGGAAACGAGGAUGGAACGUCUAAUCGGGACCCCCUCGAGACACUCAGGGUCAGCGCUCCGGAUGUCAGCCUAUUGCGCGGCGCCCGACCCUCGACCGAACGAGGUCCCUUCCCGGGGACAAGUCGGGCAUCGACUGACACCACCACAGCUGCUCCGCCGGAUCCGCCACCAUACCAUACGAGCAUGCGAUCUCAGAACCAGCACAAGGCGGCUGGCAGGACAGCACGCAGGAGCACGCGUAAUCAUCACCAAGCUAUCAAGAUGGGACGGCUCGAGGCCAUGACGUACGGAAGCCUCGAGUAGGUCAGCGCUCCAUGCGGCUAUCGAUCCCUACUCUAAUAUCCAUGCAUGUACCCUUUGUCUCUCCUUGGAACUAUAAAAGGAGGGACUCAGGAAUAGAAGAGGGGACAACGCAAGCACACAUACACACGUAGUAGAGCGGCACAUUUCAUUCCACACUUGUAUUCGCCCCUGUACAAGCACUUAGGUGCAAGAUAAUACAAACUCUCCCCCCCGCUGGACGUAGGGCCUUCUCUUGCCCGAACCAGGAUAAAUCUCUGUGUUUUCUCGCAUCACCAUCCGGAAAGGGGAGCACGCAUACAAAUUUACUCGUUGGUGUGAUCCCCCCGGGGGAAAAACACCGACAGUUGGCGCGCCAGGUAGGGGUCCUGCGUGUUUUUUACCGAUUUCCCACCACUUUCCGGAUGGCUACUCCUGCCUCGCCGCUUCCGCGCUCCACGGUGAUUUGGUUUGGGAGUCUCGAGUUCAUGUCUAUGGGCUCCGGCUACGACAUGAUCUUGCUCUCAGUCAAAGGACCAGGAGAAGUCCGCGUUACGCCAGCACGGUUGAAGACCUCAAGACGCCCUCACCACCACGCCUCCCCGCCUAAGAAGAGGCGCGGGCUCAACCACCGCGGCCCCUCUGCUUCAGCGCGACCAGCAACUCGCGCAAGGCAGGAUGUGGGCCGCAAGGCAGCGACACCGCGUGACCGAGCAACAAGCAUAACGACUCAGCACCACGCAACGACAGGGGGAGACGCGUCUCGCGCGCCCACCCCCACCGCAGCUAGGCUACUUCCACACGGGUUGUUCUUUCCAAGGGCGGCACUGCCGUUCGGGUUGGACAACGCCGCGGCGUCGCUCGCCAAGACGAUACGCCCAAAUGCUCAGACGCACGUGGAAAGACCAAUGGUCAUCCCACGUAGCUCUGAAGAGCAGCGGCCGACGUCCAAACUGCCGGACCUUUCCCGAGUACGAGGCCUCCGCCGUCUAGGCCCCGGGCGAUACUCGAUCACCUCCCUCGAGCAACGAUGGUCGGAGGAAGGACGUGAGCGUUCCCACACUGCCGAACCAGACUCCGACUCCGAGACAGACAGCUACGACCCUACGAGGGAAUGCUAUCACCUCGACGGAGUGGCAGAAACCACCGACGAGAUACGGGACGCCGUUGCGGGUGGACGAGCCCCCGCAGCGCAAGAAGACCCCAGGACGCCUGGGAACGACGGAAGGUUCGACCCUCUUCCUCAGGAAGAUAGAACUGCGCAGCUCGCGCAGCUGCGGGAGCUCAAGAUGAAGCUCGACGAAGAUCGCGAGCGCCUCGUCCUGCUCGAGCAAAUCCUCGAACAAGACCUGCCCUACCCGCCAGGCGGAAGUAUCCGCAGACGCGCUCGAGAGGUACAUCGACAGAUCGUCGGUGACACGGAGGCGGAGCAACCUGUCGGCCGUUUCCCUCGAGCAGGCCAGAAUGUAGUGGCAGCGACGAUGCUGCUACGUAACAUGCCAGAACCAUCGAAUUCCCAGGCUCGACGAAUUCGAGAUGAGGUUCAGACGUUGCUCCAGGUGGCAGCAGUCCAACAAGCCGAAAGUUCGGCAUCUCGACGACGAGGAGCUGCCACAGAGAAGCGCGACGAACAGCCUCUAAUCGAAGAGGAGGUGUCUGUCCAGCAACAACCCCCCCCUCGAGGCAGAAAGACCACUCUCAUCCUCCCUGCCAACAAUCAACGUCGACACGACGCGCGACACGACGUCAGAGAAAGUAGACGCCGACGGCACGGAGACGCGGAAGAACGUGGUUAUAGCGCGCAUCGCGGUGGGAGGUACGACAGUGACGAGGACCGGGUGGCCCCCGAGCCACCAGGCCCGCGGGUGUUCAGCAGAGCAAUUCGCAGCACACCCCUGCCUAGUCCAUUCCGACCCCCAACCAGCAUCGCGAAGUACAAUGGAGAAACCAAGCCAGAGUUAUGGCUGGCCGAUUUCAGGCUGGCUUGUCAACUAGGCGGCGCUCGGGGGGAUGAUCGAGCCAUCAUCAGACAACUACCCCUUUUCCUCUCCGACACCGCCCGCCGAUGGCUCGAGGAGCUCCCAGCCAAUCAGAUUCACAACUGGGUUGACCUGGUCAGAGUCUUCGAAGGUAACUUCAAAGGGACCUAUAUACGGCCAGGGAACUCGUGGGACCUCAGCAAAUGCAAGCAGAAGACAGGAGAGACUCUUCGGGAGUAUGCUCGACGCUUCUCGAAGCAACGCACUGAGUUACCACACAUCCCCGACCACGACGUCAUCUUGGCGUUUGUCUCGGGCACCACCAGUCGAGACUUGGUGCGGGAAUUAGGCCGCAAUCGACCUCAGACCGUCGACGAGCUGAUGGACGUAGUAGCUAACUACGCGGCAGGGGAGGAGGCAGUCGGCGCUUUCUUCAGCUCAGAAGGAAGAAAAGGCAAGCAGCCCGUCGAUGAAGAAAGGACUUCCAGUCGAGGCCUCAAGAAAAAUAAAAAGAAGCAGAAAGUACGACAAUUCCACCAGGGAGAUUCGGAUGACGACCUCGUCGCCACGGUGGAUCGAAAGAAGCCGCGAGGCCCUCCGGAGGGAGGCAUCUUCGACAAGAUGUUGGAGGAGCCAUGCCCUUACCAUAAGGGGGGCGCUAACCACAAACUCAAGGAUUGUCGCAUGCUGAGAAAGCAUUUCGACGGUCAGGGGCUCAAAAAAGAUGCGCAUGAUGACUCCAAGAAGGAGAAGGCCGGCGGCAAGGAGGACAACAAAGAUGACGACGGCUUCCCCGCCGUCCACGACUGCUACAUGAUCUAUGGCGGGCCUUCGACUCAGUUGACCACGAGGCAGCGCAAGAGGGAGCGUCGCGAAGUCUUCGCGGCGAGGAUGGCGGUGCCCCAGUACCUUAGCUGGUCAAGCACUCCCAUCACCUUCGACCGAGAAGAUCACCCUGACAAGGUGGUCGCCCCAGGCGUCUACCCGCUCGUCGUCGACCCCAUCAUCAUCAACACCCGACUCUCGAAAGUGCUGAUGGAUGGUGGCAGCAGCCUCAACAUCAUCUACCUCGAGACCCUCGACCUCCUCGGCAUCGACAGAGGACGCCUCCAGCCAAGCGCCGGCGGUUUCCAUGGCGUCGUACCAGGGAAAAAGGCACUGCCAGUAGGUCGAAUCGACCUACCGGUCUGCUUCGGCACGGCGGCCAACUUCAGGAAAGAAACCCUCACCUUUGAGGUGGUCGGGUUCCGAGGCACGUACCACGCCAUCAUCGGGCGCCCGGGCUACGCCAAGUUCAUGGCUAUACCCAACUACACAUACUUGAAGCUCAAGAUGCCUGGUCCCAAAGGCGUCAUCACCGUCAGUUCCUCCUUUGAGCACGCGUACGAGUGCGACGUCGAGUGCGUCGAGUACGGGGAGGCGGUCGAGAGCUCCACCGAGCUCGUUGCAAAGCUCGAAGCCAUGGCCGCUGAGGCUCCAGAACCUAAACGUCAUGCGGGCAGCUUCGAGGCGGCGGAAGGAACUAAGAAGAUCCCGCUCGACCCCAACAACUCCGACGGCAAGGUGCUGACGAUCAGCACCGACCUCGACCCCAAAUAGGAAGCCGUGCUCGUCGACUUUCUCCGUGCGAAUGCUGAUAUGUUUGCAUGGAGUCCCUCGGAUAUGCCGGGCAUACCAAGGGAAGUCGCCGAGCACUCCUUGGAGAUUCGAGCCGGUUCCAAGCCAGUGAAGCAGCGGUUGCGCCGAUUCGACGAGGAAAAGCGCAAGAUCAUUGGCGAGGAAGUCCACAAGCUUUUGACGGCCGGAUUCAUCAAGGAGGUUCAUCAUCCUGACUGGUUAGCGAACCCUGUAUUAGUUAAGAAAAAGAAUGGAAAAAUGAGGAUGUGUGUCGAUUAUACUAGUUUGAAUAAAGCAUGUCCGAAAGUUCCUUUUCCAUUACCACGCAUUGAUCAGAUUGUCGAUUCUACCGCGGGAUGUGAGACCCUUUCUUUCCUUGAUGCUUAUUCCGGUUACCAUCAAAUAAAAAUGAAGGAGUCCGACCAGCUCGCGACCUCUUUCAUCACGCCUUUUGGGAUGUAUUGCUACGUGACCAUGCCAUUCGGGCUUCGAAACGCCGGAGCCACGUAUCAACGUUGCAUGCUCCACGUUUUCGGCAAACACAUAGGGUCAACGGUCGAGGCCUACGUCGACGACAUUGUCGUCAAGUCAAAGCAACGAGGAGACCUGAUCCAGGACCUCGAGGUUGCCUUUAGCUGCUUACGCGCCAGCCGGAUCAAGCUUAAUCCCGAGAAGUGCGUUUUCGGCGUGCCUCGAGGCAUGCUCUUAGGAUACAUUGUUUCACAGCGCGGUAUCGAGGCCAACCCCGAGAAAGUCUCGGCCAUCAUGAAAAUGGGGCCAAUCCGAGACAUCAAGGGUGUCCAGAGAGUCACGGGGUGCCUGGCGGCUCUGAGCCGUUUCAUCUCGAGACUAGGAGAAAAGGCAUUACCAUUAUAUCGACUCCUGAAGAAGGUCGACAGCUUUUCUUGGACCCCCGAGGCCGAGGAAGCACUCGAAAAAUUAAAGAAGACGCUGACCUCGGCACCAGUCCUGGUUCCACCUCAACCUGCGGAGCCUCUACUCCUCUACGUCGCGUCGACGGCCCAGGUCGUCAGCGCGGCGGUGGUGGUCGAAAGGCCAGAGGAGGGUCACGCGCUGCCGGUCCAAAGGCCAGUCUAUUUCGUCAGCGAGGUGCUCUCGGAGACCAAGGCGCGAUACCCCCAAAUCCAGAAGUUAAUCUACGCCGUAAUCCUUGCCCGCCGCAAAUUACAGCAUUACUUCCUGGGUCAUCCUAUAACGGUGGUCUCUUCUUUCCCUUUGGGCGAGAUAAUCCAGAGCAGGGAGGCCACGGGAAGGAUAGCGAAGUGGUCGGUUGAGCUCAUGAGCGAGACUCUCACUUACGCGCCUCGAAAGGCCAUCAAAUCGCAAGCCCUGGUAGACUUCGUCGCGGAAUGGACGGACUCCCAGCUUCCCCCGACUCAGGUCCAGGCGGAGCUGUGGACAAUGUAUUUCGACGGGCACUCAUGAAAACGGGGGCAGGGGCCGGCCUACUAUUCAUCUCACCCUUGGGCGUCCACAUGAGGUACAUAAUCAGGAUUCACUUCGCCGCAUCUAACAAUGUCGCAGAGUAUGAGGCCCUCGUCAACGGUCUCAAGAUCGCUAUCGAGUUAGGAGUCCGACGCCUCGACGUCCGAGGCGACUCCCAACUCGUCAUCGACCAGGUAAUGAAAGCCUCGAGUUGCCAUGACCCAAAAAUGGAAGCAUACUGCAAGGAGGUGCGUCGACUCGAAGACAAAUUCCACGGCCUCGAGCUUGUCCAUGUCGCUCGACGCUACAACGAGGCAGCCGAUGAACUCGCCAAGAUUGCAUCUACCAGAGGCACAGCGCCGCCUGAUGCGUUCUCAAAAGAUCUACACGAGCCAUCCGUCGACCUAGGCACGGGGGCUGGCGUCGACGCCACCAUCGCCCGACCAACCAAUGAUGUCGAUGCGCUCUUGAUGGAGGAAGAGGUGAUGAAAAUAGAACGACGGCCGGGUCGACCAUUCGAUUGGCGCACACCGUUUCUCGACUGCCUUAUCCGCGGUGAGUUGCCAGAAGACAGGACAGAAGCUCGUCGUAUCGCUCGACGGGCCAAAUCAUACGUGAUCUACGGUGAAGACAACGAGCUAUAUCGACGAAGCCCAACGGGGGUCUUACAGCGUUGCAUCACCAUAGAGGAAGGCCGAAAACUCCUCGACGACCUACACUCGGGGGCUUGUGGUCACCACGCCGCCCCACGGACCCUUGUAGGAAACGCUUUUCGGCAAGGUUUUUACUGGCCAACGGCCGUGGCGGAUGCCAUCGAGCUAGUACGCUCGUGUCAUGGGUGCCAAUUCUACGCCAAACAGACGCACCAGCCCGCCCACGCUCUUCAGAUGAUCCCCAUCACCUGGCCGUUUGCGGUGUGGGGGCUCGAUUUAGUAGGACCUCUACAAAAGGCGAAAGGAGGGUAUACCCAUUUGCUGGUGGCUAUUGACAAGUUCUCCAAAUGGAUCGAGGCUCGACCAAUCACUAACAUCCGCUCCGAGCAGGCCGUCCUUUUCUUCUCCGACAUCAUCCACCGAUUUGGGAUCCCCAAUGUCAUCAUCACCGACAAUGGCACCCAGUUCACUGGCAGAAAGUUCUUGGAUUUCUGCGAUCAGCAUCACAUCCGCGUGAACUGGUCCGCAGUAGUCCACCCUCGAACUAACGGCCAGGUCGAGCGUGCCAACGGCAUGAUUUUGCAAGGACUCAAGCCAAGGAUCUACAACCGAUUAAAGAAAUUCGGCAAGAGAUGGGUCGAGGAGCUUUCCUCGGUCCUAUGGAGCUUAAGGACAACGCCGAGCAGGGCCACCAAAUACACCCCGUUCUUCGUGGUCUACGGCUCUGAGGCUAUCCUCCCCACAGACCUCGAGUAUGGGUCACCUCGACUCAAGGCUUACAAUGAGCAAUCGAACAAAGAAGCUCAAGAAAACGCAGUUGACCAACUCGAGGAGGCUCGAGACAUGGCCCUCCUCAACUCUGCUAGAUAUCAGCAGAAACUCCGACGCUACCACGACAAGCACGUGCGCAAGAGGGACCUCAACAUAGGCGACCUUGUCCUACGACGCCGGCAAAGCAACCAAGGACGCCACAAGCUAACCCCACCUUGGGAAGGCCCGUAUGUGGUGGCCGAGGUCCUUAAGCCGGGAACGUACAAAUUGGCGGACGAAAAGGGGGCAGUCUUCACCAACGCAUGGAACAUCGAACAGCUACGUCGAUUCUACCCCUAGAAGUCCUAGACUUACGAUCCUACUUUUUGUACGAAGACUUUGUAAAUGAACGCAUGAAUAAAUAAAGUCUUUCCCUCGAGCAGUUUUUUUUCUGUACCGAAAAUAGUUACGAGUUAUAGUCUCGACGUAAAAAGGGGAUGCCGACCAUGACCCAUCAUAGUCCGCACCCCCUCGGGGGCUACCAGAGGGACGACCCCUCCCCAAGCGUCGAAAAAGCCAAAAAGUUUCUCUCUUUCCUACUUAGUAAACCUCGAACGAUCGAGUAGUCGAGGCGCCUCGAGCCCCUCGAGGACCGAAGGAUAGCGAGCCUGAGAACACCUACGCCCCCGGGCUAUGCAAACUCUACUCAUUCCCUCACCCUCGAGGCGAUUGAAGCCGUCUUUUACGAAAAAUCGAACAAGGAACACAUUUGUAGGCGCAAAAGAAAUAAAAGAACAUCGAGUGGAAAGACAAACAAAACAUUUAAACAACCACAAAAAUACUGUAUCGCUUAGAAACAGGAUUAACUAAAUUUUAUACAAGGGGCCCCAGGCACCCCGAGCAGGCUCGCAGGCCUCAGUCCAUGGUACGAUCCUCGCCACCCUCACCUCCGCCCGAGCUAGCCUCAGGAGGGAGCACCUCAGGCUCGAAGAGCUUGGCCAACCUUUCUCCAGGAGCCUCCGCGUCGUCGAUCAAGGCAUGGAGCCUCUCCUCGUUCUCCGCGUCGGUCUUGGAGAUGUCGGUGACGAAGCCAUGGGACACCACCUCCAUGUCGUAGGAGAAGCCCGAGCAGACAACCGCCAUCGCCCGCUUCACCCCGAUGUGGAGGGCAUCCCGCACCCGAUCUCGCAGCGUCGCGCCUAUGUAGCACAACUGGUCGAUCAGGGCGUCGCCUCGAGCGUCCUCCCUCGACUCAUCCAUAGGCUCGACCUCCCAAGAGGUCGAGAGAUCGCUUAUCGCCGUCCGCACUCGACGGUUCAAAGCGACCUCAGCCUCGAGUUGAGCCUUGGCGUUGCGAGCCUCGGCUUGGGCGGCCAGGAGUUCGUCCUUGAGCCCUAUAAACGCCAAUACAGAGAAGGCUUAGAAAAAACUCAAACACACCUCGAAAAGGAAAUUCGACAAAGGAAACAUACCUUUGAUGCUCUCCUCUAGAGCCGUGUUCUCACCAACCAAUCUGGUAUUGGCACGCUCGAUCUCUCUGUUGGAGCGCGCCAGCUCAGUAUUGGCGACGCGGAGAUCUUCAAUCACCCUGCCGGCCUGGGCGACGGCUCCACUCUUCUCCAGCAGUUCUCCCUUCAGACGCUCGACGUCGUCGGAGAGACUGCGGGAUCGAGCUCGCUCUAUCUCGAGGUCUUCGAGGGCUUUCUUCUUCGCGUCCUCGGCGGCACCUCUGGCGACCUCAUUUUCCACGCAAGCCACCUUCAUCUUCUGGAAGGUAUCGCGGAGGGAGUCCAGGUCGGUUUGGAGAAGGCCCUUUUCCUUGUCCAGAUCCGCGAUGACGCUCUUGUGGGACAGGACCUCCUCCCGGGCUCUGGACGCGGCCUCCUCGACUGUAAGAGUCCGCUCUCGUAGCCGCACCGCCUCCUCCUCCGCCUUCUUCGAGACCUCUCGGGCCUCGGCCAAAGCAGCCUCCCUCACUUUCUUCUCCUCCUCGAGUGCUAUAAGAUCUUUGUAAGCUUUAAGCAGCUUUUCCUGCGACUCGAGGAGUUGAUCCUUGAGGAGGGGAAGCUGCUCCCAUCCGCCCCUCGUGGCGUGAAUGAAGCUAGAUUUGAUGCGAGAGGUCUCUUUCAUAUCCUGCGAAUCAGGAGUCAGGAGGAUUAGAACAUAGAAACCCAAAAGCACCACCAAGAUUGGAGCUCGAGAAACGCUUACAAAAUAGGCUGGGCCAAGCCCGUUGUUGAUGACGUCCGAUAGGAGCCCCACCACAUGUUUCAUCCAAAGGCGGAGCUCCUCGACGUGCUCCCACUUCUCGACCUCCUUCUUGUCGUCGAGGAAGAUAUUGGGCUCGGACGGGUCGCUGGAAGCUCGGAUACGAAUCCGAUCGGGACACCAGUUCUCCAUCUCCCGAUCGGCCCGCACCUUGACACCGCGGAGAAAGUUCUCGACGGUCUCGAGAGAACCCCCGUGGCGCAAGAACAGGUCGGCGAGGCAAGGGAACCGCCCGUCGUCAUCCACCGUUUUCCACGUACCGUCCUUGCUCCCAGACGAUCCGAUCUCGUCUUCCUCAGAGGGAAAACGGUCCUCCCACGCUCGACGCUCCCGGAGGAACCCUGGGGCGAUCCCGUCCAUGCCGUAGAGUGUCCUCUUGAUCUCGGACUCGGGGUCGGUGGGGGUGCGCAUCAUGCAGGCGAGCGCCACCACUCCGUCCGCUCGACCCGACUCUGCCCGGAUCGCGGCGGGCGCCCCCGGGAGAAGCCACGCUGGGGUGGGAGGCCCGUACACCGGCAAAUCUCCCUCUUGAUCGCCGGGCUCUUGCGACGCCUGCGGCACCGACCCGGCCAAAAUUCGAGGCGGGGACUCGAGUGGCUCGUUCUCUUGGCCCCCCAGCUGCUGCUGCUGCUCGUCCUGCUGAUGCAGCAGUUGCUCCUCCGGCUGGGGUUGCUGCUGCUGCUGCUCUAGUGACGGCUGCGCCGCCUCGCGCUCCCGCGCCUCCUCCUCCACCAUCUUCCUUUGCGUCUCGAGGGCUCGAAGGCCUGCGGGCCAGGUAGCCCGUCCUGCGACGUUGGGAGUCGACGCCUCUUCCUCCAUGGGUCGGACGCCCCCAGACGCUUCGUUACCAUCAGACGUGUCGCUGAUGGUGAUGGGUUCCCCCUCGACCCCCAAUCGAGGGGGCUCGGGGGCUCCCCCUGACACUCGCGUCUGGGGGGUCGCAUCAUGAGUUGGUGGCGGCGGAGUAGGCGCGGGACGAGGCGACGCCGCCUCGACGCCGGCUGAAGGUUGGGUGCUUGACGGGCCUGCAAAACAAAGGGUGAGGGUCAGACGUUAUGAUAACCGACAUAAUAUCGCGACACCCAGAAAUUAGCUACAAACCAGGUUCCGUGGAGGCGGCACCCGUUCUGAGCCUCUUGGCCAUCGAUGGUUGGGCCUGCUCGAGGGUCCGUUUCAGCCUGAGAAAAAGUCAGCAUGUGAGGAAAGGCGAGAGAAUGAGGGGACGAAGACCACAAUAACUAAAGGGCUUACCCCACGGGCAGAACGGCUCGCCUUCCGCCACCUCGACCAGCGGGCCUCGAGCCACCCCGCGUCGGGGCGCUAGGCCCCUCGAGGGCAGAAAUUGGCCUAGGCACGUCGGGUCUCGCUUGGCGGGCGCCGGGACUCGCGCUCCUACGACCGGCGUCACCUUUCUCAGAGGCCGCAGCGCGACCGCGGGUCAGCGGCCCCGACGCCUGGGACCUGGCCGGACCGCUCUCCUUGGGCGCCAGGGGAGGGCGCGGUGCGUCCUGGCCCGCCUUGAGCGCGGAAGGAACGUCGGGCCGGGGACGACGAGACCCGCUCGGAACCUCCUCCGGCACCUCCGUCCGGGGGGCGUCGACGUCAUCUCGAGGCGGGCCCUCGAGGAUCCGAUCGAGACGCGACGCCAUCCCCUCAGAGUCGUCGCUACUCUCGUCGUCAUCAUCAUCGUCGUUGGGGGAUUCUUCCUCAGGCUCCCCCCUCUGCCUGGAUUUGGCUCGACGCGCCUCUAAUGCUUGGCGGUCGAGAUUCUUCUUCUUCUCCCCCUUUUUUGCGGAGUCCUUGGCAGACUUCAACUUCUCGGCGGAUUGGCGCCGUUUGUCGCGAUCGACCUCGUCCUCCUUUACUGGAGGCCUCGAGGACCGGACAUCAAUCCGACCCUGCCAAAACUAAGGUAGACUUAGAAAACAAAGAGAGGGGAGAGGGGAAACCUAGAAUCGAGGAUGCGCGCAAGAAGAAAGCGUACCAGAUCGAUCGAGCCCGCGUCGGGUCGCAUGGGGAAGCCGUUGACGUGCUCCGGUUUAAAAUCACCGGCAAUUGCGGCCCUGACUCGGGCCGCGACUUCAUCGUCCGUCGGAGGCUCGCUGGACGUCCGACAUGCCUCGAGGUCCCGAGACGAGACGCCAGGGCCCAUCUCGUCCAUCCUCAGCGGUCGUGACAUCAGAGGGAGAACUCUCCGAUGAUGGACGGCCGAGAGGACGAGGGCGGCGGUCAAACCUUCCUGGCGAAGCUUCUUCAGGGCGUCGAGGAGAGGGUCGAGCCGAGGCUGAUGAGCUUGGACGACGCCGUAUGUCCAGUCCGCUGGGCGCUCCAAGAUCAGACGGCCCGAAUAGGGAGGUAGGAGGUUGUCGUCGUUCCGCAGGUAGAACCAUUGAGAGUCCCAACCGGCAUGGUUGGUCGACAACCCUACCGGUAUGUACUCCCGCGGCCGGUCCGUCUUCCCCGUCUUCUGCACCAGAUUGAGGCAACCCGCUCGCACGGGUUUCCUCACGCCCGUGGUUCCGGUGGAAGCGUGAAACAGCUCGCCCCUGUAGAGGUGGAGCCACAGCUCCCAGUGCGGCAUCAUCCCUAGGAAGCCCUCACAGACGGCGGCGAAGACCGCCGCCACGGUGAUGGCGUUCGGGGAGAAGUGCUGCAGCUCCACCCCAUAGUGGAAGCAGAGGGCCCGCAUGAAGCGGCUUGGAGGCGCGCCCAAACCGUGGCGGUGGAACUUGGCGAACGACACCACGUAGCCCUCGGGUGGCUGAGGCGUCCUGUGGCUCGCUGGCGGCGCGAUCCACUCUGGCGACGACAGCGAGGUGCGGCGGCGCAGCAGUCCCUCCUUCUCGAGCUCUAACAGCCGGCGCUCCGUCAUCGACGACGGGCGCCAGUCAUCGGCGGCGACGAGUCUUACAGGCAUAUCGGCUAACGGGACAGUGGGUUCGCUACGGCUCGAGGGGGCGAGUGCGCGUGAGAUGACAAGAAAGCGAAGGCAGCGAAAGAACGAGAGCGAGAAGGCGAAAGGGAGAGGAACGGCGGUGACGCGACGACAUAUUUAUAGGCGGCUGUCCGCCAACGGACAGAUCCGAGAAGUAAGGUAACUCCCCCCAUAAAUGCGCCGCCUGACAGCUCUCUCCCUCUCCUCACAGGCCGGACUCUCCGAAUUCCUCGCCGAUACGGUGUCGCAACGUCAUCCGCCUAAAAAGACGCGCCCAACGGGAAGAAAUGCGAACCGCCACGACCGUUUCCUUCCCUCGUAAGCCAGGGGACAUAACCACAAAAGUCUCGGGAGGUCGAUGGCUGGCCCGCCGAAAGGGUUCGACAGCCGAUCUCGAGCGCCAGAGUCAGGGAUCUCUAGCGAGUGGUCGAAACUCGAGGCCCGCCUCGAGGGCUUGCUGGCGAUGUUCAAGGUAGGGUCGAAACAGUCGAGAGGAAUCCCCCGAAGGGAGGCAUCGAGCCACUGGACUCUAUCGAAUGAGACCGGUAUCCCCGACCACGUCGACCCUGCUUUAUGAGGACGCCUCCGGGCUACAGCUGACCCCCCUCGAAAGGGGCACAGGUUCUCACUUGGACUACCCGCUAGGAACUCAAUUCGGGAUGAAAGACGCUCGCUCUAUCGGGAGUACGUCGAAACCCACGGGUAAAAACAAGCCAGUCAGAAUCUUCCACCACUGGUGUCGAAAGCGCUUCUACGAGUUAGACAACAUAACCCUCGAAGGAGUCAAAAACUCCUCCGAGGUCUCGGGGGCUACCCCGCGGGGUCGCUCGCGCGCCCCCACGAAAAUUCGACCGUAAAUCAAAACCUCCAUUCGAGCGCUAGCGCUCGAAUGAAGGCUCGGGGGCUACUGUCGAGGGUAUCGGUAAGGGGUACCCUCAGCGAUGCGCAUUAUGAGAUUGCCCAUACAAAGGUUGGGACCCCCAAUUCGACGCCUUAAUCUUACUUACGCGCCGCCGACGACGGUCGCAGCCUCGAAUACGGAAAUAGCGUCGAGCGAACCGGUCAGGGCUCGAGCAGCGACUACCGUCAAAGGCGGAAGCGGGCUCGAGCGAACCGAGAGACGUCGAGCGUUAGGACACUGCCCGCCGCCUGACGCGCGCACGCGGGCGGGAGCAUUAAAUGCAUCUGACGUUUCCCACCUAACACCCGGGUCACGGAAGGCGUGAUAGGGAACAAGCUUCUGUCCCAUCGUUCUUUUUGCAGCCUUCCCACCGAACGACCCAGGGUGCGUCAGGACGCAGGAAACGAGGAUGGAACGUCUAAUCGGGACCCCCUCGAGACACUCAAGGUCAGCGCUCCGGAUGUCAGCCUAUUGCGCGGCGCCCGACCCUCGACCGAACGAGGUCCCUUCCCGGGGACAAGUCGGGCAUCGACUGACACCACCACAGCUGCUCCGCCGGAUCCGCCACCAUACCAUACGAGCAUGCGAUCUCAGAACCAGCACAAGGCGGCUGGCAGGACAGCACGCAGGAGCACGCGUAAUCAUCACCAAGCUAUCAAGAUGGGACGGCUCGAGGCCAUGACGUACGGAAGCCUCGAGUAGGUCAGCGCUCCAUGCGGCUAUCGAUCCCUACUCUAAUAUCCAUGCAUGUACCCUUUGUCUCUCCUUGGAACUAUAAAAGGAGGGACUCAGGAAUAGAAGAGGGGACAACGCAAGCACACAUCCACACGUAGUAGAGCUGCACAUUUCAUUCCACACUUGUAUUCGCCCCUGUACAAGCACUUAGGUGCAAGAUAAUACAAACUCUCCCCCCCGCUGGACGUAGGGCCUUCUCUUGCCCGAACCAGGAUAAAUCUCUGUGUUUUCUCGCAUCACCAUCCGAAAAGGGGAGCACGCAUACAAAUUUACUCGUUGGUGUGAUCCCCCCCGGGGGAAAAACACCGACAAUUGGAUUCCCGCUUGCAUCAAUUGCUCUAGUCUUUAUAACGCUAGAGUAGUAAUUAAUAGAUUAGACGUGGUGUUUAGUCUUGCGAUUACCUGGAAUUGCACCCAAUCCCACGGAUUGUUGUGGUAGCCUUAGGGUAGUGACAGCCCUAACGGUCGAUGUAUUCCACCUCGUUCGGAUCGGUGUUUGUAGGACCGUAGUCGGAGCUUCCUAGCCCCCUUCUCAUCUCUUUCUGUGGUUAGUGUUCUGAUGUCCCGAAAUAGAUAAUCUUGAAGUAAUUCUUGAUUCUUAGAUCAACUAGAGAACUCUCAGGAAACUUCCUCUCUUCCCACCAAAAAAUAAUUAUAUAGUUAUCCUUGGGCGAUCUUGAUUCUUAAUUAGUACACUCACGUUCCCUGUGGAAAAUCGAUACUCUGGAAUACUCCCGGGUGAAGGCUACAUCGGUAUCCGUGCGCUUGCGGAUUUUUCUGUUUGCGUUUAAAAUACCCAACAAUUACCACUUGAUGAGAACACGGGUGGCCCGAUCUUCCGAAAGGUUCUGGUAACUCUCGAUUUGGUGGAGACGAGACACAAAUUGAUCCGGCUUCCGAACAACACGAUACGAAACCCUACAAUUUUCUUUAUUUUUUUCAUAUUUUUCUUUUAGUUAGGAGCACCAAAGGAGUAACCACAAAAAAAUUGAGCUUAAACAAGUGAAAGACAUGGCCCGCGAAAUUUUCUGAAGAUUGUGAAAAAUGUGAAAAAAACUUCACGAGGUGAAAACUCAAACUUUAGAGGAUCUAAAGUCAAUCAAACCUGCCAUUGAAAGGCACAGACAGAUCCAAAAAAUUUUUCUGAUCGAUUUUUUUAUAUGGAACGUUGAAAUCGGAGUUCGUAUGCGGAAGUUAUGGCUAUUUUAUGAACGGACUCCGGAUUAGAGGACAAAACGGUCCGAAAAUGAGAAAAAUUGCGGCGGUGGCUAAAAAUUGAUGGAAAUAGUGGAGAAAAACAUAUGAACUGGACCCUAACAAGACCUAACCAGCAACAAGACCUCGACCAGGACACAAACUCAACACUACGGACUCUGAAACUAAAAUAUGCAAAUUCUAUGGCGUGGAAGGGUUGUAGGACAGGAAAAUGAUAUGGCACUGGACUUAUGGGACGAACACAAGAACACUCAAAACUAAAGAUAGUUAUGAACCUAAUGGUAUACCUAAAGCUUUGAUUACCACUUGAUUUGAACAAGGGUGGUCUGAUCUUCCGAAAGGUUCUGGUAACUAUCGAUUUGGAGGAGAAGAGACACAAAUUGAUCCGCUUUCGAACAACACGAUCCGAAACUCAGCAAAUUCUUUUUAUUAUUUUUUGAUAUUUUUCUUUCAGUUAGGAGCACUAAAGAAGUAACCACAGAAAAUUUAAGCUUAAACAAGUGAAAGACAUGGCCUGUGGAAUUUUCUGAAGUUUGUGAAAAAUGUGAAAAAAACUUCAUGAUGUGAAAACUUAAACUUCAGAGGUGAAUUUGGAGGUUCUAAAAUUUUCAAACCCGCCAAUGGAGGGGACAAAUAGAUCCAAAAAAUUUUUUUGAUCGAUUUUGAUAUAUGGAACAUUGAAAUCGGAGUCCGUAUGCGAAAGUUAUGGCUAUUUUACGAUCGGACUCCGAAUUAGAGGACAAAACGGUCCGAAAGUGGGAAAAAUUUGCGGCGGUGGCCAGAAAUUGAUGGAAACGAUGGGGAAAAACACACGAACUGGACUCUAACAAGACCUAACCAGCAACAAGACCUCGGCCAGGACACAAACUCAACACUGCGAACUCUGAAACUAAAAUAUGCAAAGGCUAUUGCGUGGAAGGGUUGUAGGACACGAAAAUGAUAUGGCACUCGACUUAUGGGACGAAACACUCGAAACUAAGGGUAGAUGUGAACCUAACAGUAUACCUAAAGCUUUGAUUACCACUUGAUGAGUCAAGGGUGGCCCGAUCUUCCGAAAGGUUCUGGUAUCUCUCGAUUUGGUGCAGACGAGACACAAAUCGAUCCGGCUUCCGAACAACACGAUCUGAAAGCCUACAAUUUUUUUUAUUUUUUGAUAUAUUUCUUUGAGUUAGGAGCACCAAAGAAGUAACCACAUUAAAUUUGAGCUUAAACAAGCGAAAGACAUGGCCUGCGGAAUUUUCUAAAGAUUGUAAAAAAUAUGAAAAAAACUUCACGAGGUGAAAACUCAAACUUUGGAGGUGAAUUUUGAGGUUCUAAAAUUUUCAAACCUACCAAUGGAGGGGACAGACAGAUCCAAAAAAAAUUUCGGAUCAAUUUUGAUAUAUGGAAUGUUGAAAUCGGAGUUCGUAUGCGAAAGUUAUGGCUAUUUUACGGACUACGAAUUAGAGGACAAAAUAGUCCGAAUGUGGGAAAAAUUUGCGGCGGUGGCUAAAAAUUGAUGGAAACGGUGGGGAAAAACACACGAACUGGACUCUAACAAGACCUAACCAGCAACAAGACCUCGACCAGGACACAAACUCAACACUGCGGACUCUGAAAUUGAAAUAUGCAAAGGCUAUGGCGCGGAAGGGUUGUAGGACAGGAAAACGAUACGGUACUGGACUUAUUGGACGAACACAAGAACACUCGAAACUAAGGGUAGAUGCCAACCUAAUGGUAUACCUAAAGCUUUGUUUACCACUUGAUGAGAACAAGGGUGGCCCGAUCUUGUGAAAGGUUCUAGUAACUCUCGAUUUGGUGGAGACGAGACACAAAUCAAUCCGGCUUCCAAAUAACACGAUGCGAAACCCUUCAAUUUUUUUAUUUUUUUGAUAUUUUUCUUUUAGUUAGGAGCACCAAACGAGUAACCACAUAUAAUUUGACUUUAAAACAAGUGAAAGACUUGGCCUGCGGAUUUUUCUUAAGAUUGUGAAAAAUGUGAAAAAAAACUUCACGGGGUGAAAACUCAAACUUUGGAGGUGAAUUUGGAGGUUCUAAAUUUUCAAACCCACCAAAAGCUAGGACACACAGAUCCGAAAUUUUUGUCUGAUUGAUUUCGAUAUAUGGAACAUUGAAAUCGGAGUUCGUAUGUGAAAGUUAUGGCGAUUUUACGAACGGACUCCGAAUUAGAGGACAAAACGGUAAAUGGGAAAAAUUUGCGGUGGUGGCUAGAAAUUGAUGGAAACGGUAGGAAAAAACACACGAACUGGACUCUAACAAGACCUAACCAGCAACAAGACCUCAACAAGAACACAAACUCGACACUGCGGACUCUGAAACUGAAAUAUGCAAAGGCUAUGGCGCGAAAGGGUUGUAGGAUACGAAAACGAUAUAGCCCUGGACUUAUGGGACGAACACAAGAACACUCGAAACUAAGGGUGGAUGUGAACCUAACGGUAUACCUAAAGCUUUGAUUACCACUUGAUGAGAACAAGGGUGACCUGACCUUCCAAAAGGUUCUGAUAUCUCUCGAUUUGGUACAGACGAGACACAAAUCGAUCCGGCUUCCGAACAACAUGAUAUGAAACCGUGCAAUUUAUUUUAUUUUUUUGAUAUUUUUCUUUUAGUUAGUAGCACCAAAGGAGUAACCACAGUAAAUUUGAGCUUAAACAAGUGAAAGACAUGGCCUGCGGAAUUUUUUGAAGAUUGUGAAAAAUGUGAAAAAAAACAUUACGAGGUGAAAACUCAAACUUUAGAGGUGAAUUUUGAGGUUCUAAAAUUUUCAAACCCGCCAAUGGAGGGGAUAGAGAGAUCCAAAAAAAUUUUCGAAUCAAUUUUGAUAUAUGGAACGUUGAAAUCGGAGUUCGUAUGCGAAAGUUAUGGCUAUUUUACGAACGGACUACGAAUUAGAGGACAAAACAGUCUGAAAGUCUGAAAAAUCUGCGGUUGUGGCUAGAAAUUGAUGGAAACGGUGGGGAAAAACACACGAACUGGACUCUAACAAGGCCUAACCAGCAACAAGACCUCAACAAGAACACAAACUCAACACUGCAGACUCUGAAACUGAAAUAUGCAAAGGCUAUGGCGCGAAAGGGUUGUAGGACACGAAAAUGAUAUAGCACUGGACUUAUGGUACGAACACAAGAACACUCGAAACUAAGGGUAGAUGUAAACCUAAUGGUAUACCUAAAGCUUUGAUUACCACUUGAUGAGAACAAGGGUGGGCCGAUCUUCUCAAAGGUUCUAGUAACUCUCGAUUUGAUGGAGACGACACACAAAUCGAUCCGGCUUCCGAACAACACGAUCCGAAACAUGCAAUUUUUUUUAUUUUUUUUUUGAUAUUUUUCUUUUACUUAGGAGCACCAAAGGAGUAGCCACAGGAAAAUUGAGCUUAAACAAGUGAAAGACAUGGCCUGCGGAAUUUUCUGGAAAUUGUGAAAAAUGUGAAAAAAACAUCACGAGCUGAAAACUCAAAUUUCGGAAGUGAAUUUGGAGGUUCUAAAAUUUUCAAACCCACCAAUGAGGGGACAGACAGAUCUUAUUUUUUUUCUAAUCAAUUUUGAUAUAUGGAAUGUUGAAAUCGGAGUUCAUAUGCGAAAGUUAUGGCUAUUUUACGAACGGACUCCGAAUUAGAGCACAAAACGGUCCGAAAGUGGGAAAAAUUUGCGGCGGUGGCUAGAAUUUGAUGGAAACGGUGGAGAAAAAUACAUGAACUGGACUCUAACAAGACCUAACCACCAACAAGACUUCGACCAGGACACAAACUCAACACUGCGGACUCUGAAACUGAAAUAUGCAAAGGCUAUGGCGUGGAAGGGUUGUAGGACACGAAAACGAUAUGGCACUGGACUUAUGGGACGAACACAAGAACACUCGAAACUAAGGGUAGAUGUGAACCUAACGGUAUACCUAAUGCUUUUAUUACCACUUGAUGAGAAAAAGGGUGACCUGAUCUUCCAAAAGGUUCUGGUAUCUCUCGAUUUGGUGCAGACGAGACACAAAUCGAUCCGGCUUCCGAACAACAUGAUACGAAACAAUGCAAAUUUUUUCUAUUUUUUUUGAUAUUUUUAUUUUAGUUAGGAGCACCGAAGGAGUAACCACAGAGAAUUUGAGCUUAAACAAGUUUAAGACAUGGCCUGCGGAAUUUUUUGAAGAUUGUGAAAAAUGUGAAAAAAAACUUCACGGGGUGAAAACUCAAACUUUGGAGGUGAAUUUGGAGGUUCUAAAUUUUUUUGAUCGAUUUUGAUAUAUGGAACAUUGAAAUCGGAGUUCGUAUGCGAAAGUUAAGGCUAUUUUACGAUCGGACUCCGAAUUAGAGGACAAAACGGUCCGAAAGUGGGAAAAAUUUGCAGUGCUGGCUAGAAAUUGAUGGAAAUGGUAGGGAAAAACACACGAACUGGACUCUAAUAAGACCUAACCAGCAACAAGACGUCAACAAGAACACAAACUCAACACUGCGGACUCUGAAACUGAAAUAUGCAAAGGCUAUGGCGCGAAAGGGUUGUAGGACACGAAAACGAAAAAGCACUGGACUUAUGGUACGAACACAAGAACACUCGAAACUAAGGGUAGAUGUGAACCUAACGGUAUACUAAUGCUUUUAUUACCACUUGAUGAGAAUAAGUGUGACCUGAUCUUCAAAAAGGUUCUGGUAUCUCUUGAUUUGGUGCAGACGAGACACAAAUCGAUCCGGCUUCCGAACAACAUGAUACGAAACCUUGCAUUUUUUUUUUAUUUUUUUUAAUAUUUUGCUUUUAGUUAGGAGCACCGUAGGAGUAACCACAGAAAAUUUGACGUUAAACAAGUGAAAGACAUGGUCUACGGAAUUUUUUGAAGAUUGUGAAAAAUGUGAAAAAAAACUUCACGAGGUGAAAACUCAAACUUUGGAGAUGAAUUUUGAGGUUCUAAAAUUUUCAAACCCGCCAAUGGAGGGGACAGACAGAUCCAAAAAGAAUUUUGGAUCAAUUUUCAUAUAUGGAACGUUGAAAUCGGAGUUCGUAUGUGAAAGUUAUGGCUAUUUUACGAACGGACUACGAAUUAGAGGACAAAACAGUCCGAAAGGGGGAAAAAUUUGCGGCAGUGGCUAGAAAUUGAUGGAAACAGUGGGGAAAAACACACGAACUAGACUCUAACAAAGACCUCGACCAGGACACAAACUCAACACUGCGGACUCUGAAACUGAAAUAUGCAAAGGCUAUGGCGCGGAAGGGUUGUAGGACAAGAAAAUGAUAUGGUACUGGACUUAUGGGACGAACACAAGAACACUCCAAACUAAGGGUAGAUGUGAACCAAAUGUUAUACCUAAAGCUCUGAUUACCACUUGAUGAAAACAAGGGUGGCCCGAUCUUCUGAAAGGUUCUAGUAACUCUCGAUUUGGUGGAGACGAGACACAAAUCGAUCCGGCUUCCGAACAACAUGAUCCGAAAGCCUACAAUUUUUUUUAUUUUUUUGAUGUUUUUCUUUUAGUUAGGAGCACCAAAGAAGUAACCACAUAAAAUUUGAGCUUAAACAAGUGAAAGAAAUGGCCUGUGGAAUUUUCUGAAGAUUGUGAAAAAUGUGAAAAAACUUCACGAGGUGAAAACUCAAACUUUGGAGGUGAAUUUGCAGGUUCUAAAAUUUUCAAACCAACCAAAAGCUAGGACACACAGAUCUGAAAUUUUUUUCUGAUCGAUUUUGAUAUAUGGAACGUUGAAAUCGGAGUUCGUAUGUGAAAGUUAUGGCUAUUUUACGAACGGACUACGAAUUAGAGGACAAAACAGUCCGAAAGUGGGAAAAAUUUGCGGCGGUGGCUAGAAAUUGAUGGAAACGGUGGGGAAAAGCACACGAACUGGACUCUAAUAAGACCUAACCAGCAACAAGACCUCAACAAGAACACAAACUCAAAACUGCGGACUCUGAAACUGAAAUAUGCAAAGGCUAUGGCGCGAAAGGGUUAGGACACGAAAACGAAAUAGCACUGGACUUAUGGUACGAACAUAAUAACACUCAAAACUAAGGGUAGAUGUGAACCUAACGGUAUACCUAAUGCUUUUAUUACCACUUGAUGAGAACAAGGGUGACCUGAUCUUCCAAAAGGUUCUGGUAUCUAUCGAUUUAUUGCAGACGAGACACAAAUCGAUCCGGCUUCCGAACAACAUGAUACGAAACCCAGCAAUUUUUUUUAAUUUUUUUUUGAUAUUUUUAUUUUAGUUAGGAGCACCGUAGGAGUAACCACAGAGAAUUUGAGCUUAAACAAGUUUAAGACAUGGCCUGCGGAAUUUUUUGAAGAUUGUGAAAAAUGUGAAAAAAAACUUCACAAGGUGAAAACUCAAAAUUUGGAGGUGAAUUUUGAGGUUCAAAAAUUUUUCAAACCCGCCAAUGGAGGGGACAGACAGAUCCAAAAAAAAUUUUUGGAUCAAUUUUGAUAUAUGGAACGUUGAAAUCAGAGUUCGUAUGCGAAAGUUAUGGCUAUUUUACGAACGGACUACGAAUUAGAGGACAAAACAGUCCGAAAGUGGGAAAAAUUUGCGGUGCUGGCUAGAAAUUGAUGGAAAUGGUAGGGAAAAACACACGAACUGGACUCUAAUAAGACCUAACCAGCAACAAGACGUCAACAAGAACACAAACUCAACACUGCGGACUCUGAAACUGAAAUAUGCAAAGGCUAUGGCGCGAAAGGGUUGUAGGACACGAAAACGAAAAAGCACUGGACUUAUGGUACGAACACAAGAACACUCGAAACUAAGGGUAGAUGUGAACCUAACGGUAUACCUAAUGCUUUUAUUACCACUUGAUGAGAACAAGGGUGACCUGAUCUUCAAAAAGGUUCUGGUAUCUAUCGAUUUAUUGCAGACGAGACACAAAUCGAUCCGGCUUCCGAACAACAUGAUACGAAACCCAGCAAUUUUUUUUAUUUUUUUUUUUGAUAUUUUUAUUUUAGUUAGGAGCACCGUAGGAGUAACCACAGAGAAUUUGAGCUUAAACAAGUUUAAGACAUGGCCUGCGGAAUUUUUUGAAGAUUGUGAAAAAUGUGAAAAAAAACUUCACGAGGUGAAAACUCAAACUUUGGAGGUGAAUUUUGAGGUUCAAAAAUUUUCAAACCCGCCAAUGGAGGGGACAGACAGAUCCAAAAAAAAAUUUUGGAUCGAUUUGAUAUAUGGAACGUUGAAAUCAAAGUUCGUAUGCGAAAGUUAUGGCUAUUUUACGAACGGACUACGAAUUAGAGGACAAAACAGUCUGAAAGUGGGAAAAAUUUGCGGUGGUGGCUAAAAAUUGAUGGAAACGGUAGGGAAAAUACACACGAACUGGACUCUAAUAAGAUCUAACCAGCAACAAGACCUCAACAAGAACACAAACUCAACACUGCGGACUCUGAAACUAAAAUAUGCAAAGGCUAUGGCGCGAAAGGGUUGUAGGACACGAAAACGAAAAAGCACUGGACUUAUGGUACGAACACAAGAACACUCGAAACUAAGGGUUGAUGUGAACCUAACGAUAUACCUAAUGCUUUUAUUACCACUUGAUGAGAACAAGGGUGACCUGAUCUUCAAAAAGGUUCUGGUAUCUCUCUAUUUGGUGCAGACGAGACACAAAUCGAUCCGGCUUCCGAACAACAUGAUACGAAACCUUGCAAUUUUUUUUAUUUUUUUAAUAUUUUGCUUUUAGUUAGGAGCACCGUAGGAGUAACCACAGAAAAUUUGAGCUUAAACAAGUGAAAGACAUGGCCUACGGAAUUUUUUGAAGAUUGUGAAAAAUGUGAAAAAAACAUCAUGAGGUGAAAACUCAAACUUUGGAGAUGAAUUUUCAGGUUCUAAAAUUUUCAAACCCGCCAAUGGAGGGGACAGACAGAUCCAAAAAGAAUUUUGUAUCAAUUUUCAUAUAUGGAACGUUGAAAUCGGAGUUCAUAUGUGAAAGUUAUGGCUAUUUUACGAACGGACUACGAAUUAGAGGACAAAACAGUCCGAAAGUGGGAAAAAUUUGCGGCGGUGGCUAGAAAUUGAUGGAAACGGUGGUGAAAAACACACGAACUGGACUCUAACAAAGACCUCGACUAGGACACAAACUCAACACUGCGGACUCUGAAACUGAAAUAUGCAAAGGCUAUGGCGCGGAAGGGUUGUAGGACAGGAAAAUGAUAUGGUACUGGACUUAUGGGACGAACACAAGAACACUCCAAACUAAGGGUAGAUGUGAACCUAAUGUUAUACCUAAAGCUCUGAUUACCACUUGAUGAGAACAAGGGUGGCCCGAUCUUCUGAAAGGUUCUACUAACUCUCGAUUUGGUGGAGACGAGACACAAAUCGAUCCGGCUUCCGAACAACAUGAUCCGAAACCCUACAUUUUUUUUAUUUUUUUGAUGUUUUUCUUUUAGUUAGGAGCACCAAAGAAGUAACCACAUAAAAUUUGAGCUUAAACAAGUGAAAGACAUGGCCUGUGGAAUUAUCUGAAGAUUGUGAAAAAUGUGAAAAAACUUCACGAGGCGAAAACUCAAACUUUGGAGGUGAAUUUGCAGGUUCUAAAAUUUUCAAACCCACCAAAAGCUAGGACACACAGAUCCAAAAUUUUUUUCUGAUCGAUUUUGAUAUAUGGAACGUUAAAAUCGGAGUUCGUAUGUGAAAGUUAUGACUAUUUUACGAACGGACUCCGAAUUAGAGGAAAAAACGGUCUGAAAGUGGGAAAAAUUUGCGGUGGUGGCUAGAAAUUGAUGGAAACGGUGGGGAAAAGCACACGAACUGGACUCUAAUAAGACCUAACCAGUAACAAGACCUCAACAAGAACACAAACUCAACACUGCAGACUCUGAAACUGAAAUAUGCAAAGGCCAUGGCGCGAAAGGGUUAGGACACGAAAACGAAAUAGCACUGGACUUAUGGUACGAACAGAAUAACACUCAAAACUAAGGGUAGAUGUGAACCUAACGGUAUACCUAAUGCUUAUAUUACCACUUGAUGAGAAGAAGCGUGACCUGAUCUUCCAAAAGGUUCUGGUAUCUAUCGAUUUGGUGCAGACGAGACACAAAUCGAUCCGGCUUCCGAACAACAUGAUACGAAACCCUGCAAUUUUUUUUAUUUUUUUUGAUAUUUUUAUUUUAGUUAGGAGGACCGUAGGAGUAACCACAGAGAAUUUGAGCUUAAACAAGUUUAAGACAUGGCCUGCGGAAUUUUUUGAAGAUUGUGAAAAAUGUGAAAAAAAACUUCACGAGGUGAAAACUCAAACUUUGGAGGUGAAUUUUGAGGUUCAAAAAUUUUCAAACCCGCCAAUGGAGGGGACAGACAAAUCCAAAAAAAAUUUUUGGAUCGAUUUGAUAUAUGGAACGUUGAAAUCAAAGUUCGUAUGCGAAAGUUAUGGCUAUUUUACGAACGGACUACGAAUUAGAGGACAAAACAGUCUGAAAGUGGGAAAAAUUUGCGGUGGUGGCUAAAAAUUGAUGGAAACGGUAGGGAAAAUACACACGAACUGGACUCUAAUAAGACCUAACCAGCAACAAGACCUCAACAAGAACACAAACUCAACACUGCGGACUCUGAAACUAAAAUAUGCAAAGGCUAUGGCGCGAAAGGGUUGUAGGACACGAAAACGAAAAAGCACUGGACUUAUGGUACGAACACAAGAACACUCGAAACUAAGGGUUGAUGUGAACCUAACGAUAUACCUAAUGCUUUUAUUACCACUUGAUGAGAACAAGGGUGACCUGAUCUUCAAAAAGGUUCUGGUAUCUCUCUAUUUGGUGCAGACGAGACACAAAUCGAUCCGACUUCCGAACAACAUGAUACGAAACCUUGCAAUUUUUUUAUUUUUUUAAUAUUUUGCUUUUAGUUAGGAGCACCGUAGGAGUAACCACAGAAAAUUUGAGCUUAAACAAGUGAAAGACAUGGCCUACGGAAUUUUUUGAAGAUUGUGAAAAAUGUGAAAAAAACAUCACGAGGUGAAAACUCAAACUUUGGAGAUGAAUUUUCAGGUUCUAAAAUUUUCAAACCCGCCAAUGGAGGGGACAGACAGAUCCAAAAAGAAUUUUGGAUCAAUUUUCAUAUAUGGAACGUUGAAAUCGGAGUUCAUAUGUGAAAGUUACGGCUAUUUUAUGAACGGACUACGAAUUAGAGGACAAAACAGUCCGAAAGUGGGAAAAAUUUGCGGCGGUGGCUAGAAAUUGAUGGAAACGGUGGCGAAAAACACACGAACUGGACUCUAACAAAGACCUCGACUAGGACACAAACUCAACACUGCGGACUCUGAAACUGAAAUAUGCAAAGGCUAUGGCGCGGAAGGGUUGUAGGACAGGAAAAUGAUAUGGUACUGGACUUAUGGGACGAACACAAGAACACUCCAAACUAAGGGUAGAUGUGAACCUAAUGUUAUACCUAAAGCUCUGAUUACCACUUGAUGAGAACAAGGGUGGCCCGAUCUUCUGAAAGGUUCUACUAACUCUCGAUUUGGUGGAGACGAGACACAAAUCGAUCCGGCUUCCGAACAACAUGAUCCGAAACCCUACAUUUUUUUUAUUUUUUUGAUGUUUUUCUUUUAGUUAGGAGCACCAAAGAAGUAACCACAUAAAAUUUGAGCUUAAACAAGUGAAAGACAUGGCCUGUGGAAUUAUCUGAAGAUUGUGAAAAAUGUGAAAAAACUUCACGAGGCGAAAACUCAAACUUUGGAGGUGAAUUUGCAGGUUCUAAAAUUUUCAAACCCACCAAAAGCUAGGACACACAGAUCCAAAAUUUUUUUCUGAUCGAUUUUGAUAUGUGGAAUGUUAAAAUCGGAGUUCGUAUGUGAAAGUUAUGGCUAUUUUACGAACGGACUCCGAAUUAGAGGACAAAACGGUCUGAAAGUGGGAAAAAUUUGCGGUGGUGGCUAGAAAUUGAUGGAAACGGUGGGGAAAAACACACGAACUGGACUCUAACUAGACCUAACCAGCAACAGGACCUCAACAAGAACACAAACUCAAAACUGCGGACUCUGAAACUGAAAUAUGCAAAGGCUAUGGCGCGAAAGGGUUAGGACACGAAAACGAAAUAGCACUGGACUUAUGGUACGAACAGAAUAACACUCAAAACUAAGGGUAGAUGUGAACCUAACGGUAUACCUAAUGCUUUUAUUACCACUUGAUGAGAACAAGGGUGACCUGAUCUUCCAAAAGGUUCUGGUAUCUAUCGAUUUGGUGCAGACGAGACACAAAUCGAUCCGGCUUCCGAACAUCAUGAUACGAAACCCUGCAAUUUUUUUUAUUUCUUUUGAUAUUUUUAUUUUAGUUAGGAGCACCGUAGGAGUAACCACAGAGAAUUUGAGCUUAAACAAGUUUAAGACAUGGCCUGCGGAAUUUUUUGAAGAUUGUGAAAAAUGUGAAAAAAAACUUCACGAGGUGAAAACUCAAACUUUGGAGGUGAAUUUUGAGGUUCAAAAAUUUUCAAACCCGCCAAUGGAGGGGACAGACAGAUCCAAAAAAAAUUUUUGGAUCGAUUUGAUAUAUGGAACGUUGAAAUCAAAGUUCGUAUGCGAAAGUUAUGGCUAUUUUACGAACGGACUACGAAUUAAAGGACAAAACAGUCUGAAAGUGGGAAAAAUUUGCGGUGGUGGCUAAAAAUUGAUGGAAACGGUAGGGAAAAAACACACGAACUGGACUCUAAUAAGACCUAACCAGCAACAAGACCUCAACAAGAACACAAACUCAACACUGCGGACUCUGAAACUGAAAUAUGCAAAGGCUAUGGCGCGAAAGGGUUGUAGGAUACGAAAACGAAAAAGCACAGGACUUAUGGUACGAACACAAGAACACUCGAAACUAAGGGUUGAUGUGAACCUAACGAUAUACCUAAUGCUUUUAUUACCACUUGAUGAGAACAAGGGUGACCUGAUCUUCAAAAAGGUUCUGGUAUCUCUCUAUUUGGUGCAGACGAGACACAAUUCGAUCCGGCUUCCGAACAACAUGAUACGAAACCUUGCAAUUUUUUUUAUUUUUUUAAUAUUUUGCUUUUAGUUAGGAGCACCGUAGGAGUAACCACAAAAAAUUUGAGCUUAAACAAGUGAAAGACAUGGCCUAUGGAAUUUUUUGAAGAUUGUGAAAAAUGUGAAAAAAACAUCACGAGGUAAAAACUCAAACUUUGGAGAUGAAUUUUCAGGUUCUAAAAUUUUCAAACCCGCCAAUGGAGGGGACAGACAGAUCCAAAAAGAAUUUUGGAUCAAUUUUCAUAUAUGGAACGUUGAAAUCGGAGUUCAUAUGUGAAAGUUAUGGCUAUUUUACGAACAGACUACGAAUUAGAGGACAAAACAGUCCGAAAGUGGGAAAAAUUUGCGGCGGUGGCUAGAAAUUGAUGGAAACGGUGGCGAAAAACACACGAACUGGACUCUAACAAAGACCUCGACUAGGACACAAACUCAACACUGCGGACUCUGAAACUGAAAUAUGCAAAGGCUAUGGCGCGGAAGGGUGGUAGGACAGGAAAAUGAUAUGGUACUGGACUUAUGGGACGAACACAAGAACACUCCAAACUAAGGGUAGAUGUGAACCUAAUGUUAUACCUAAAGCUCUGAUUACCACUUGAUGAGAACAAGGGUGGCCCGAUCUUCUGAAAGGUUCUAGUACCUCUCGAUUUGGUGGAGACGAGACACAAAUCGAUCCGGCUUCCGAACAACAUGAUCCGAAACCCUACAUUUUUUUUUAUUUUUUUGAUGUUUUUCUUUUAGUUAGGAGCACCAAAGAAGUAACCACAUAAAAUUUGAGCUUAAACAAGUGAAAAACAUGGCCUGUGGAAUUAUCUGAAGAUUGUGAAAAAUGUGAAAAAACUUCACGAGGUGAAAACUCAAACUUUGGAGGUGAAUUUGCAGGUUCUAAAAUUUUCAAACCCACCAAAAGCUAGGACACACACAUCCAAAAUUUUUUUCUGAUCGAUUUUGAUAUAUGCAACGUUAAAAUCGGAGUUCGUAUGUGAAAGUUAUGGCUAUUUUACGAACGGACUCCGAAUUAGAGGACAAAACGGUCUGAAAGUGGGAAAAAUUUGCGGUGGUGGCUAGAAAUUGAUGGAAACGGUGGGGAAAAACACACGAACUGGACUCUAACUAGACCUAACCAGCAACAGGACCUCAACAAGAACACAAACUCAACACUGCGGACUCUGAAACUGAAAUAUGCAAAGGCUUUGGCGUGAAAGGGUUGUAGGACACGAAAAUGAUAUAGCACUGGACUUAUGGUACAAACACAAGAACACUCGAAACUAAGGGUGGAUGUGAACCUAACGGUAUACCUAAAACUUUGAUUACCACUUGAUGAGAACAUGAGUGACCUGAUCUUUCAAAAGGUUCUGGUAACUCUAGAUUUGGUGGAGACGAGAAACAAAUCGAUCCGGCUUCCGAACAACAUCAUAUGAAACCGUGCAAUUUUUUUAUUUUUUUGAUAUUUUUCUUUUAGUUAUGAGCACCAAAGGAGUAACCACAGAAAAUUUGAGCUUAAACAAGUGAAAGACAUGGCCUGUGGAAUUUUUUGAAGAUUGUGAAAAAUGUGAAAAAAACUUCACGAGGUGAAAACUCAAACUUUGGAGGUGAAUUUUGAGGUUCUAAAAUUUUCAAACCCAACAAUGGAGGGGACAGACAGAUCCAAAAAAAAUUUCGGAUCGAUUUUGAUAUAUGGAACGUUGAAAUCGGAGUUCGUAUGCGAAAGUUAUGGCUAUUUUACGUACGGACUACGAAUUAGAGGACAAAACCGUCCGAAAGUGGGAGAAAUUUGCGGUGGUGGCUAGAAAUUGAUGGAAACGGUAGGGGAAAACACACGAACUGGACUGUAAUAAGACCUAACCAGCAACAAGACCUCGACCAGGACAAACUCAACAAUGCGGACUCUGAAACUAAAAUAUGCAGAGGCUAUGGCGUGGAAGGGUUGUAGGACAGGAAAACGAUAUGUUACUGGACUUAUGGGACGAACACAGGAACACUCGAAACUAAGGGUAGAUGUGAAACUAAUGGUAUACCUAAAGCUUUGAUUACCACUUGAUGAGAAAAAGGGUGGCCCGAUCUUUCGAAAGGUUCUGGUAACUCUCGAUUUGGUGGAGACGAGACACAAAUCGAUCCGGCUUCCGAACAACACGAUCUGAAACCCUACAGUUCUUUUUUAUUUUUUUAAUAUUUUUCUUUUAGUUAGGAGCACCGAAAGAGUAACCACAUAAAAUUUGAGUUCAGACAAGUGAAAGACACGGCCUGCGGAAUUUUCUGAAGAUUGUGAAAAAUGUGAAAAAAACAUCACGAGGUGAAAACGCAAACUUGGGAGGUGAAUUUGGAGGUCCUAAAAUUUUCAAACUUGCCAAAGGCAGGGACAUACAGAUCUGAAUUUUUUUUCUGAUCGAUUUUGAUAUAUGGAACGUUGAAAUCGGAGUUCGUAUGGGAAAGUUAUGGCUAUUUUACGAACGGACUCCGAAUUAGAGGACAAAAUGGUCCAAAAGUGGGAAAAAUUUGCGGUGGUGGCUAGAAAUUGAUGGAAACGGUGGGGAAAAACACACGAACUAGACUCUAACAAGACCUAACAAGCAACAAGACCUCAACCAAGACACAAACUCAACACUGCGGACUCUGAAACUGAAAUAUGCAAAGGCUAUGGCGCGUAAGGGUUGUAGGACAUGAAAACGAUAUGGCCCUGGACGUUUGGGACGAACACAAGAACACUCGAAACUAAGGGUAGAUGUGAACCUAACAGUAUACCUAAAGCUUUGAUUACCACUUGAUGAGAACAAGGGUGACCUCAUCUUCCAAAAGGUUUGUAACUCUCGAUUUGGUGCAGACGAGACACAAAUCGAUCCGGAUUCCGAACAACACGAUCCAAAACCCUACAAUUUUUUUUAUUUUUUCGAUAUUCUUCUUUUAGUUAGGAGUAACCACAGAAAAUUUGAGCUUAAACAAGUGAAAGACAUGGCCUGUGGAAUUUUCUGAAGAUUGUGAAAAAUGUGAAAAAAACUUCACGAGGUGAAAACUCAAAGUUCGGAGGAGAAUUUUAAGGUUCUAAAAUUUUCAAACCUCCCUACAAUGGGGACAUGCAGAUCCGAAAUUUUUUUCUGAUCGAUUUUGAUAUAUGGAACAUUGAAAUCGGAGUUCGUAUGCGAAAGUUAUGGCUAUUUUACAAACGAACUCUGAAUUAUAGGACAAAACGGUCCGAAAGUGGAAAAAAUUUGCGGCGGUGGCUAGAAAUUGAUGGAAACAAAGGGGAAAAGACACAAACUGGACUCUAACAAGACCUAUCCAGCAACAAGACCUCGACCAGGACAAACUCAACACUGCAGACUCUAAAACUGAAAUAUGCAGAGGCUAUGGCGCGGAAGGGUUGUAGGACUGGAAAACGAUAUGUUAUUGGACUUAUGGGACGAACACAGGAACACUCGAAACAAAGGGUAGAUGUGAACCUAAUGGUAUACCUAAUGCUUUGAUUACCACUUGAUGAGAACAAGGGUGGCCUGAUCUUCCGAAAGGUUCUGGUAACUCUCGAUUUGGUGGAGACGAGACACAAAUCGAUCCGGCUUCCGAACAACACGAUCCGAAACCUUGCAAUUGUUUUUUAUUUUUUUGAUAUUUUUAUUUUAGUUAGGAGCACCAAAAGAGUAACCACAUAAAAUUUGAGUUUAAACAAGUGAAAAACAUGGCCUGUGGAAUUAUCUGAAGAUUGUGAAAAAUGUGAAAAAACUUCACGAGGUGAAAACUCAAACUUUGGAGGUGAAUUUGCAGGUUCUAAAAUUUUCAAACCCACCAAAAGCUAGGACACACAGAUCCAAAAAUUUUUUCUGAUCGAUUUUGAUAUAUGGAACGUUGAAAUAGGAGUUCGUAUGGGAAAGUUAUGGCUAUUUUACGAACGGACUCCGAAUUAGAGGACAAAACGGUCCAAAAGUGGGAAAAAUUUGCGGUGGUGGCUAGAAAUUGAUGGAAACGGUGGGGAAAAACACACGAACUGGACUCUAACUAGACCUAACCAGCAACAGGACCUCAACAAGAACACAAACUCAACACUGCGGACUCUGAAACUGAAAUAUGCAAAGGCUUUGGCGCGAAAGGGUUGUAGGACACGAAAAUGAUAUAGCACUGGACUUAUGGUACAAACACAAGAACACUCGAAACUAAGGGUGGAUGUGAACCUAACUGUAUACCUAAAACUUUGAUUACCACUUGAUGAGAACAAGAGUGACCUGAUCUUCCAAAAGGUUCUGGUAACUCUAGAUUUGGUGGAGACGAGAAACAAAUCGAUCCGGCUUCCGAACAACAUCAUAUGAAACCGUGCAAUUUUUUUAUUUUUUUGAUAUUUUUCUUUUAGUUACGAGCACCAAAGGAGUAACCACAGAAAAUUUGAGCUUAAACAAGUGAAAGACGUGGCCUGUGGAAUUUUUUGAAGAUUGUGAAAAAUGUGAAAAAAACUUCACGAGGUGAAAACUCAAACUUUGGAGGUGAAUUUUGAGGUUCUAAAAUUUUCAAACCCAACAAUGGAGGGGACAGACAGAUCCAAAAAAAAAUUUCGGAUCGAUUUUGAUAUAUGGAACGUUGAAAUCGGAGUUCGUAUGCGAAAGUUAUGGCUAUUUUACGUACGGACUACGAAUUAGAGGACAAAACCGUCCGAAAGUGGGAAAAAUUUGCGGUGGUGGCUAGAAAUUGAUGGAAACGGUAGGGAAAAACACACGAACAGGACUGUAAUAAGACCUAACCAGCAACAAGACCUCGACCAGGACAAACUCAACAAUGCGGACUCUGAAACUGAAAUAUGCAAAGGCUAUGGCGCGGAAGGGUUGUAGGACAUGAAAACGAUAUGGCCCUGGACGUUUGGGACGAACACAUGGAAUAACACUAGGAGUGUUACAUCAUCGGCAGUAAUCUAGUGCUGAGGAUCCACCGAUGUGCUUUUUUCAGCUGCCUCUGAAGUCAAUACUUUGGUCUUUCCCUUAGCAUCCAACAUAUUUGUAGGGAAAUGAUGUUGGUCGAUCUUCAUCGGCUUUUGAGCUUUGGAGUUAUCGAACCUAAUUCUCCCAAACUCUAUAGCCGACUGCAGCUGCUGCCUGAAAACUUUGCAUUCAUUUGUACUAUGAGAUGUUGCAUUAUGCCACUUGCAAUACUUAAUCUUCUUUAAUUCUUCUGCCGAUGGAAUCACAUGGUUAGGUGACAACUGAAUUUGCCCCUCCUGAAGCAAAAAGUCAAAUAUCCUAUCGGCUUUGGUGAUGUAAAAUGCAAACUUUUCUGGAUCUUUAUGCCCAAAAGGGCAAGACAUCGGCUUUUUAUUUUUUACCCAUUCUGCCAAGCUGAUGACUGGCUCUUCAUCAGAAUCUGAGCUCGUUGCCUCAUCGACAAAUGACACCUUUUUGUUCCAUGCCCUCUUGGGUUCAAAAGCUUUGAUAUCUUGGUCAGAAAUCCACUGCACUAAAUGGCUCAGACUUUCAAACUCUUGAGAAGCAUACUUGUCUUUAAUGUGUGGCAACAACCCUUGGAAAGCCAAAUUGGGGAGCUGCCGAUCAUCCAAAACCAGACUAUAACAUUUAUUCUUAACAUCUCGCAACCUUUGCACAAAGCUCUCAACCGAUUCGUCAUUGCUCUGCCUUAGCCUGACUAAAUCGGUAAUCUUCUUCUCAUGCACUCCAAAAAAGAAGUAUUUAUGGAACUAUUUUUCUAGAUCGGCCCAGGUGAUCACUGAGUUUGGAGGUAAUGAAAUAAACCAAGUAAAGGCCGAUCCAGACAAAGAUGAUGAGAAUAAGCGAACCCUUAACUCAUCUCUGUUAGCAGUUUCCCCAUACUGGAUGAUGAACCUAUUAACAUGCUCCAUGGUUGACGUAUCAUCCUGCCCCGAAAACUUGAUGAAAUCCGGCACCUUGUACCGAUUUGGAAGCGGAAUUAAGUCAUAUGCUGGAGGAUAUGGUGUCCGAUAAGAGUAAGUGUUGACUUUGGGUUUUAUCCCAAAUUGGUCUCUCAUCACCUCAGCUAUCUUAUCGGCCCAGUAAGCAUCAGCAUAUUGCCGAUGAGCUUGUUGUGGAUUCGGCAUCUGCUGAUAAGCUUCCACAUGUCUCUGCAGUGCACGAUCCCUACAGAACAUAGGAUUAGCCACCGCCUGUUGACCACCAACUUGGUGACCAAGAUUCAUCGGCUGGUUGAUCAACCCUUGAUUUUGAAAUCCAGGUUGCAUUGGUCCUUAUUGAAAUCCCAUAGCCUGAUGAUUUUGCUGAGGCAUCUAUGGAAAGACAAACUGCCCUGUCCAUCCAUUGUUAACAUUCAUCGGCGUAGGUCCUGCCGAUGGCUGAUAAUUGGGCAUCAUCAUCAAAUUGACAUACCCUAGCUGUGUCAUAAACCUUUGCUGUGUCAGCAUUGGAUCUGCCGAUGCAUUAGGCAUCUAGAACGUUGGCAUUUGAGAAUUCCUAGCAAAAGGUCUUGUAGUAGUAGUUGUAGAAUACUUGGGAUUCUGAGUCAUCGGUGAGCCUGGGGGUGCCGAUGCCAUAGGAGCAUUGCCUGUCAUGUCAGCCACUUGAGAUGUCCCAGAACUUUUUGCCAUAAAUUCUGGGGGCAUACCAUAUCCCCACCAAUUGGGAGGAACAAAUACUGACAUUGCUGAUGCUAAUAAAUCUGUAGCAAGUUUGACUUGUCCCUCUGAUGUUGAUGGAUUAGUCGUCAUCGGUGUAGAUUGCGCAUUAGUCAUCCCUAAUGUGCUUGGAGGAGAAGUAACUUCCGUACCUGCAACCGCUGUAGUAGCCGAUGGAGCCGUAACCGAUGAUGAUCCUGGCUGNNNNNNNNNNNNNNNNNNNNNNNNNNNNNNNNNNNNNNNNNNNNNNNNNNNNNNNNNNNNNNNNNNNNNNNNNNNNNNNNNNNNNNNNNNNNNNNNNNNNGGCUAGAGUAUAGUGAGUCCAAGGAUGCUGCUUAUUGCUUAUAUUGUUAUCUUUUCUUUAAUUCGGGGAAGACAGAAAAAUUUGGAAGUUCUGUCUUUGCGCGAUCGAGGUUAUCAAAAUUGGAAGAAUGCUAAGGAUACUUUUCAUAAGCAUAGUGCUUCGAAGACUCAUACAGAGGCCAGACUGAAGUGUGAUGAUUUUAUGAACCAAAGGACAAGUGUGGGUCAAAGAAUAGUUGAGGUAAGCACGGAGGAAGAAAAACGAUAUGAGAUUCGUCUGACAUCAUCUUUAGAUGUUGCAAGAUUUCUCAUAUAUCAAGGGCAACCUUUUCGUGGAGAUGAUGAGAGUUCUACUUCCCUCAACAAGGGUAUGUUUAGAGAGAUGGUUGAUUGGUAUAAGGAUAAGGUAGAUAUAGUCAAUGAUGCAUAUGAAAAAGGUUCUAAAAAUUUCCAGAUGAUAUCUCUUGAUAUACAAAAGGAUCUUACAAAAGCUUGUCCUGAGGAAGUCACAGCUGUCAGUAUGGAUGAGAUCCUUGGUAGAAAAUUCUCAGUGCUUAUUGAGGAGUCUCGGGAUGUAUCAAUAAAAGAGCAAAUGGCAGUGAUUCUAAGGUUAGUAUUCCACAGUUGCAAUUUUGUUCAUAGAUUUUAUUAUAAUUAUUUCUGCAAUUAUACUAACACAUAAAUAAAUAUACUGUGUAGGUUUGUGAAUGAUAAAGGGAAAGUGGUGGAGAGAUUUCUUGGGCUUCAGCAUGUUCAGAGUUGUACAGCUAUUGCAUUGAAAGAGGCUUUGGUCAGUAUGCUUUCAAGUCACAAUUUGUCUAUCUCUAUGCUUCGUGGGCAAGGGUAUGAUGGAGCCUCUAAUAUGAGAGGUGAAUUUAAUGGGGUCCAAAAACUGAUCCGUGAUGAAAAUCCUUAUGCUUUCUAUGUGCAUUGUUUUGCCCAUCAAUUGCAACUAGUGGUGGUUGCUGUUUCAACUUCUAGUGCAGAUAUUGCAGAUUUCUUUAACUAUGUUCCUUUAAUAGUCACCAAUGUGGGUGCAUCUUGUAUGAGAAAAGAUGCUUUGCUUGCAAAGCAUCAAGAUGUGUUGCUAGAAAAUAUUGAGAAGGGUGAGAUUAUGACUGGAAGAGGUUUAAAUCAAGAAAGUAGCCUAGCUAGGCCAGGAGAUACUAGAUGGGGUUCACAUCUUAAAACUUUGCUUCGCAUUUUGGUGAUUUGGGAGGCUAUCAUAGAUGUGCCUGAGAUAGUGAAGAAAGAUUCUAUUAAACCAAGAAAUAACAGUGGAGCUUUAGGAUUAAUUAAAAAAAUGGAGAGCUUUGGUUUUGUGUUCAUCCUGCAUUUGAUGAUACAAUUGUUGAGCAUGACAGAUAUUUUGUCACAAGCUUUGCAAAAGAAGGAUCAAGACAUAGUUGAAGCAAUGCAUUUGAUCUCAGAUGUGAAAGAUAGCUUGCAGGAUAUGAGGGAAAAUGGAUGGGAGCCAUUACUCAAAAGAGUGAUAACAUUUUAUGAGAAGAAUGAGAUUGAAGUGCCGGAUAUGGAUAAGGAAAUAAAUGUUAGAGGGACAUCUAGAAGAAGGAAGCAAAAGGUAACAAACAUGCAUUACUAUCAUGUUGAACUUUUUCUGGUCGCCAUUGAUGCCCUCUUGACUGAGAUGAAUCACCGGUUUAGUGAAACUAGUUCAGAGUUAUUACUAUGUAUGGCUGCUUUUAACCUAAGGAACUCCUUCUCUAAUUUUGAUGUGGACAAACUUGUGAGGCUUGCUGAAAUUUAUGCCGAUGAUUUUGAUAUUGGUGAACUUGCUGUUUUGCCAAAUCAUCUUACACAGUUUGUCAACCGUGCUAGAAGAACUCCAGACUUUCUUGGAUGCAUUGAGCUUGGAAAAGUUGCUGAAAUUAUGGUCAAGACUAAAAUGCAUACAUCUUAUAAAUUGGUUUAUCGUCUCAUUGAGCUAAUCUUGAUACUGCCGGUGGCAACAGCUUCAGUUGAGAGAAUAUUUUCAGCCUUGAACAUUAUAAAGAUAGAUUUGCGCAAUAAAAUGGGUGAUGAAUGGCUCAAUGAUUUGAUGAUAUGUUAUACUGAGAAGGAGAUAUUUAGAAAGAUUGAUAAUGGAAAGAUCAAAAAGCGGUUUCAAGAGAUGAAAAAGCGACGUAUGUUAUUGCCUAGAAAAGUAGUGGUACGCUCUAUUCUCUUCUAAAUUUAUAAUUUGGAGGUCCAUAUAUGUAUCACUAUUAUGUCUAUUUGCGUAGGUUGCAGCUUCGGAGGAAUAAUGUGGGGCAAGCGUAGUGAUUAGUUUUGCAAUUGGUCCUUUCGGUAUUUAUGAACUUCAUCUUUUUCUUUCAUGACAUAUUUUGUGAAUUUUUGUUGUUGGUCGACGUUUUCAAUAUAAGCUUGAUUUAUGCUAUUAUAUAUACGUCUAUUGUGAAAGGGUCAUAGUAGAGAUAAAUUGUCGUAGACUUGUUCAGCCCGCCCUAAAUUUUUUUUCUAGCUUCGUCGAUGCUCCCACGCCGCAUCCCCUCUCCACAAGGAACCGCAGCCCCCUGAUGUGCUCGUGUCGAGGUCGGCUUUCGGCGACGAUCUCCACGAUGGCCUGCGAGCUUGGCUCCGGAUUCGCGCCUGAGUGACGGCGCGGCUUCGGCCGAUCACCUGCUCCGGUCCUGCCUCACCUGACCGAGCCGUGCUCGUGCGCGCCGACCAGUCGACGGACGACGACCGAGCCGCACUCGUGCGCAGCAGGUGGAGGAGGACUGGGUCGCCGCGGAACCUGGCUUCUAGGACGCCAAGCUCCAAGCUCGUCUCGCCCGCCACCGGAGGACCUCGCCAAGCCGCACGCGACGCGACGCCUGCGACCCCUACACCGGCCUCUGGAACUGGUCCAACCCGGCUUCUACGACGCCCAGCUCCAAGCUCGUCUCGCCCGCCACCGGACGACCUCGCCAAGCCGCACGCGACGCGACGCCUGCGACCCCUACACCGGCCUCUGGAACUAGAACUGGUCCAUGUCCGUUCCUUGCUCCCCUCCCCUUACUGAUUUGUUUUGUUUCAGCACCUGAUUUUGGUAGUGAUUUGUUUCUGAAUCCUGGAUAGAUAGAAUCGUUUCAGCACUUUGUUAUUGAUUUGUUUUGUUUCAGCACCUGAUUUUGGUAGUGUUUUAUUUCUGAAACCUGGAUAGAUAGAAUCGUUUCAGUACCUGCAUUUUUGUAUUGAUCUGAACCUGCAUUUUCUGAUAGAUCUUUUGACAGUGAGGACACUACUACUACUAUUAGGCAGUAGCAAUCACUACAUUAAACCUGAAAUUUCUUAUUGAUCUCAGCCUGUUUCGCUUGGUCAUCUCGAAGUGAUGUGAGCCUUGGAAAUGUACUGAAUUGAAAUCCACUUGCGGCAAUGUCUUUUAUAAAAUCACUGUACUUUUGGUAGUUCUAUAAUGGCUGAGUAGGAGUGUUUUGGCUUUGCAAGUAAUUUUUUUUAGACAAUGGAUUCAACUCUGGGCUGCAAAACAGUAAAGAUUUACGUUUUAGAAUCACCUAGCUGGAUGCUUGCAACAGAUGUAUGUUUCUCCAAAAAGGGUUGGAGGAAAGUAGAUAUCCUUUUCAAUCGAUCAUCAUACUUUUGUCACUAUGCCCUGUCUAUAUUUUCUUUUAUAAACAUUAUUUGCAGGUUUUAGAAGAUUUACGCACUAUUUGGAACUGUGUACUGACAGAAAAGCUGCAUAUCAACCCAAGAGACAGAGGUCUAUAUUCUGCAAUUCUUGUUCUUGGGAAGACAUUUGACAACCUAGGUAUUUCUCCCUUCAUCAUACAUAGAAUUUUACGGUGCAAGGUGGGCUCACCAGUUUAUGAAGUACAUCUUUUUGUCUUGAUGAAAAGCUGAUUUCCUGUAGUUAGCACUUUUGUCUAUUUUGUAGAGAUAUAUAGAUAAUAACCAAUAGUUUGUAUAUGGAUGUAGUUUGUCUUGGAUGGUACUACUAUGCACACUAUGCAGCUAAGAAGUAAGCCUGUUGCUUUAUUAAUUAGUCAAAAUUUUGAUAACCUGUAAUGUGUGCAAUCCCCCUGCUUGGCUUAUCUGGUUGGAAAAUAGAUAGAUGAUGUCCAGUUAGAAGAUGAGGAUUGGUUGGACAAUAGAUGAUAUAUGGACAAUUGGAGAUAUAAUAUGAGGAUUCACAGUUGAAAUGCUGAUUAAAACUAAAUUAGGUCUAACUUGGUGGAAUGGCAUCUUCGGUUUAUUCUCCUGUUUACUCUUUUCAUUGCCUGUCACUAUAUUGAAAACUGAGAGGCCUAAAUGCAAUGUCAAUCCAUAGUUUCUUAGUUAUGCUAAUACAAGAAAAAUGCUACCAUUUGUUCGCCUGCUGCCUUUCAGAUCCAUGGGAAUAGUUUUGCAUAUUCUCUUCUGCUAUAACUGUUAUAUUUGUGCUGUUACCGCUUACCAAUAAGACAUUGAGUGAGAAAAUAAUUAGCUUGCAGGGUUGGAUCGCUGUCCAAAAUCAGGUUUAACAGCCUGAUCCAUACGACUGUGAACCUACGCCCUUUACAAGGUUGGCAGAUUCCUAUCUGAAACUACAAUUUUCGCACUAAUUACUUUAAAGAAUACGCAACUAAAUGUAAACCAAAGUUUUGUGUUCCUCCUUCAUAUCAUAUCAUAUUAGCUGUUACCUUUAGCUUUUGAACUCCAUUUUUCAUACCUCCCAUCAUUUUAUCCUAGGUGGCUAAAUUUGUGCAGUGGUUGCAAAUUAGAUUUGCCAUAAUGGUUGGAAAUAUAUUUCUCAUCCAGCCUAAGUAUGGCACAUGCAUUGAUUUUUAGUAGUGAGCAAUGAGUAGUACUGUUUUCAAUAUCAGGAUCAUUUGAUGCUUUUUAACUAAAAAAAGCGGCAAUCAUCUGUGGUACAAUGUCUAAAUGCAUUCAUUUGUAAGCCAAGUGGAGUUUCUGCUAAUUUGACAGGAGUACCAUGAACCCCAAGUUUAGAAAAUGAGUUGUGUCUACUUUGUUGAACAAAAGCAAUGAGAUUAUUUUUGCUGGGACAGCCUCAGGAAUCCUCGCCUGCAUCUUGGUGGCCCGCAUCUUGGGGACCUGUUCCUUGGUGCCAGUGAGGUCAGUCAAUAAGUCUAUGGUUUUGAUCUGUACUUGCAUUGUUGAGAUUAUGCUCUUGAUGUAUCAAAAUGUGUUUUUCCUCUUAACAAAAAAUGUGUAAGCAAUAAUCGCCUCGUGUCUAAUCAUCCAUAGUUUGUGUGAGUUCAAAAGGAAAUAUGUUGUAGUUUAGUUUAGAGCAACAAUUUAGUUGGCAAGUGACAAUGCAACUUGCAGUAUUCUCUAACUCACUGAACUCAUUUCAGUGGAGUUUUUACUUCACUGAUGAUCCCUGAUUUUUUUGUAAUAAAAAUGUUAUCACUGCAUAUUUUCUGCCUCUUUUAUAACUGUAAAUUGGUUCUAUCGUCUAACCAACAAGACUUAUGUCAGUAUAGAACUUCGAUAUUCAGAGUUCGCCUAUUUUGAAUUGUUGCUACCAAGUGAUUGAUUUGCUGUAAUUUUAUGGUUCGCACCUGCCAGGUUUAGGUGCCAGUUUUACUUCACAUGUUAGUCUUUGGGUUUCUGUAGUUACUUUGCAUUAAGACUUCAUCGCAUAAGAAAUAUACUUGCAUAGCUAUCUUUCAUAUUCUUCAACUAAUGGUUACCGUAUUAUACAAGUGGUUGAAUUGUGGGUACACUCAAUGGAAAAUAGUGCCUCUCAUACACCAUUGGGUGACAAGACUAACACUACUAAUAGAGGUAACCAAAAUAGAAGAGGAAUUAUUAUAUAUUAUUCAGUGUAUUGUUUAUAUUAUAUAAAUGAUAAUCAAUAAUAUAUGGAUGUAACAAUGCAGGAAGCGAUGUUGCACAACACAGGAAAGAAAGGGAUAAGGCUCGAUGGCACGCAAUGUCGCAAGAGAAAAAAGACGAAAAAAAUAAAAAACGUCGUGAAGCAUAUAAAAGAAGAAAGGAGCAACAACUAUGGAUCGAAACUACCGAUGGUUGUAUAUUAUAAAUGUUGGUGAAUAAUAAUAUAAGAUACUAUUGUUGUUUCUCAUAUUCGUUGUAUCAUAAUUGAUAGAUGCUCAGGAUUCAUCAAACAAGGAAAAUGUGGAUCCUAAUAAAACAGAUGAUUGGUUGCAUAGGAAUGAUUCACUCCAUGCAAACAAUAUUGAUGAAAUACUUAUAUCCAAUCCGAUGUCAGGUAAUAAAAUUAUUGUUAGUAUGGAAUCAACACCUACAUUAUUGUGUUGUGUAGCUUUAUAUACAACGAGAGGAUCAUUGAUGGAUAUUUGGUGUGUAUUGUUUGCCUUCCUACUAUCUUAAUUCAAACACGACUAUGUAGGUGAUGCUGGUGAUGUAGUUACUGCUCGCAGCAUAAUUAAUCAGGCAAUGCGAUCACAAUGCAGUGAUGCUUCACGUAAGAGAGAGUUAACAAAUGAGCAAGUCAUGGCUCAUCGUGCAAAAUGUAGGAUGCAACAUGCAAACAAGACACCUGAGCAACGGGAACAAAGGCGCAAGCGACAGAGGCUUUAUAAUCAAGUUCCAUCUCGUAAAGAGGCAAUGAAAGUGGCUAAAAAACGCUCCAGGGAGGUGCGGACACACACUUUAAACAAUGAGUCCAUCGCAAUGGAAAAUCCACUCUUUAAUCCAAUUAUGGAGUGGCCCACUGCAAACUCAUCUAUGCCAGCUCAUGGACCCACAGUAAGCCCUAGCGAUUGGGCUAUCCCAGAAUCCGCUACAACACCUAUUUGCUUCCCACAAGCUCCUGAUGAGACAAAUGAAGAUGAUGAUGGACGCAGUGAUAUAUCGCCUGGUCAUAUGACACAUAGAUAAAAUAUACCAUGUGGGCAAAGGCAUGCAUUGUUAACCCGCCGUAACAAUGUGUUUGAGCGCCUCAUCGGUCAGAACACGGGAAAAUCUAAUAAUGAGGGUGAAGACAACGUGGAAGAAAAUACGCCAUUACCUCAGUCAACCGUGACCAACAACGGUAAAUAAUGAGGCCUUCGUAUCCAUGUUCAUUCACAUGAAACAAACUUUAUUCCUACCUUAACUAUGUCCGUUAUGUGAUUGACAGGAAGCGCUAGAUCAAACAAUCAAAAUGCAUCAGCUACACCUGGACAACCAUUAUUUGAUGAUACAAGUAAUUUGCACUACUUUGAACAUUGUGUACAAUAUUUGUGUUCCUUUAAUGUUAUCUGAGUUGUAAUAUCUCAUGACAUUGUGAUAAUCUCAGAUGAUGAUGAGGGUGAUAUAUUUGAAGAUGAUGAGUAAGAGGAUGAGGGAUGCUUGUUUGCUGGGCAAGGUAUUUGUACCAAAUACCUAUUACCUUUUUAAUUAUCCGCUCUUUUAUCUAACCUUGAUUUUUUUUGUUCAAAUCAUUUCAACAGAAGAAUCAGAUGAUGAUGUCCAAAGUGAUACUACUGAGGAAGACACGACUUCUAACUUUGAAGGACCUGACCCGUAUGAAGUGGUGUAUAGUAACAUGCCUAGGGAGACACACAUGCUAAAACCUGUACCAGAUUGCAAACAUUGUGGAGCAAAGAGAUUUCCAAAAGAACCUCCUAGGUUUUGUUGUAGCAGCGGAAAGGUUGAGCUGCAUGCGCCUGUCGUACCAAACCAGCUCAUGAGGCUUUGGACAAGCUCUGACGCGGAUGCUAGGCACUUUUGUAACAAUAUCAGGUUUUUCAAUGGUCACUUCUCUUUCACUUCCCUAUAUUGUCGCCUCGACAGUGCUACUGCUAACAUUAGAAAUAGUGGCAUAUAUACUUUUCGUGCACAUGGCAUGAUCUAUCACAACAUAAGGUCAUUUGGCAGAGAAGAUGGUAAGGAGCCUAGGCAUCUUGAGCUUUACUUCUAUGAUGAUGAUCCGAGCCUUGAGUACCGGUACCGAAGGUGUCGUGAAGAGCAGUAUCAAAAAGAUAAAGAGGUUAUAAACAGACUCGUGGCCAUCCUUCGUGACAACCCAUAUUCACAACAUUUGAGGAGUCUGGGGAACACUGAACACCUCGAGGACUAUCGUCUUACACUUAACCUUGAUCAGCGAUUGGACCAAAGGACAUACAAUGUCCCGAUGGCUUCGGAGGUGGCUGCUGUUUGGAUCGAGGGUAGUGAACUCCUUGGUCAAUUUCAGAAUAGUGUUGUCCUGCAUGGGAAAGAUAGGAGCAGGCAUGGCAUCCGAUCGUACCAUGGAUGCUAUGAUGCUCUCUCAUACCCACUCUUUUUCCCUAGAGGUGAGCUUGGAUGGCACAUGGAUAUCCCAAAAAAAGGUGUUACUAUAGAGGAUGUCAACACGGCUCAUGCCCUGCGUAAGGCUCGUACUGGUAUUGAAGAAGAAGAAGAAACAGGUUUGUAUAUCUUCUUGUACUUUUCAUGCAAAUCAAAUCAUUAUCACAUGAACACCUCUAAUACCAUAAUUUUUUCAGACUCCCUAGGAAAUUUAUGUGUUUCGGUGCAUGACUACUACUGCUACAAGUUCUAGAUACGGCCAGGAAUAUUUAAUCCCAUACUUUAUGGCAAGCGUCUUUUCCAACAAUUUGCAGUGGACACGUACAUCAAAAUCGAGAGUUCUCGAUUGGAUUACAUACGCAAUCAUCAAACUGAGAUUAGAGCAGAUCUCUACCAAGGAUUGGUUGAUACCCUACAUGCUGGUGAGGGUAGAUCAGAAGCUGUUGGAAAGCAAACAGUGAUGCCUUCAUCGUUUAUCGGAGGCCCGAGGGACAUGAGGUGUAGAUACAUGGAUGCCAUGGCACUGGUGCGAAGAUUUGGAAAACCAGAUAUAUUCCUGACUAUGACAUGUAAUCCAAAGUGGAAUGAGAUCACACGUGAGUUGUACCCUGGACAAACACCACAGGAUUGUCCGGACAUUAUUGAUCGAGUUUUUAGGGCAAAACUAGAAGAGCUUAAGCACAUGUUGUUAAAAAAGGAUAUCCUUGGAAAGGUUCGUGCACACAUGUAUGUUGUGGAGUUCCAGAAGAGGGGUCUUCCGUAUGCACAUUUUUUGCUAAUCAUGGACAGACGCUACAAGAUCACGUGCCCAGAGAAGUAUGACCUUCUCAUCUCUGCCGAACUCCCAAACAAGAAGAAGUAUCCAGAUUUGUAUAAAAUGGUUACAAAGCAUAUGAUGCAUGCACCUUGUGGAAUACUUAAUCGCAAUUGUCCGUGCACAAAAGGCCGUGAAUCAUGCAAGAACCAUUACCCACGACCUUUCUGUGAUGCCACAUUACAGGGCAAGGAUUCAUACCCAUUUUAUAGAUGACGAGACAAUGGCUGAAAAGAAAAAGUUCGCGGAUACGAGCUUGACAAUAGAUGGGUUGUGCCUUAUAACCCAUACCUCCUACGUUUGUUCAAUUGCCGCAUCAAUGUUGAGGCGUGUGGGAGCAUCAAGGCUGUGAAGUAUUUAUUUAAGUACAUUUACGAGGGUCAUGACCACACGUUUGUGGCUGUAAGAGAGGCUGACAAGGAGGACAAUGAAGGAAAUAUCGAUGAGAUCAAACAGUACAGGGAUGCUAGAUGGAUAACUCCACCAGAAGCCUUGUGGAGGAUAUGUGGUUUUGAUAUAAGUGAUAGGUCCCCUUCGGUGUUGUCCUUGCAGCUCCAUCUUCCUAACAUGCACAUGGUGUCAUUUUAUCAGCGUGAGGGUGUUCGAGAUGUGCUUAAUCGUCCAGGUGUUGAAAGGUCGAUGCUCACAGCCUACUUUGAGAAGAACAACACAUCUGAGCAUGCUCGAGGUAUAUUGUAUUGAGACUUUCCUUAAUACUAUAAGUGGGACUCACAGGGAAAACAAUGGAUUAGGAGGGCACAAAAGAAUCAUUUAAGACAGAUUGGAAGAGUUGUAUGUGCUAAUCCGGCUGAAGGGGAGCGUUAUUAUCUUAGGGUGCUUCUAAACCACGUGGCUGGUGCUACCUCAUUCACUGAUCUAAGGAUAGUGUCUGGUGAACUACUACCGACUUUCCGUGAAGCUGCAGAAAGAAGGGGCCUCAUUGAAGCGGACAACACGCUGCAUGAGGGCCUUGCUGAAGCUACUCUGUGGAUGAUGCCAUGUGCACUACGAAGGCUCUUUGCAACAAUCUUGGUUUUCUAUGAGCCAAGUGAUGUAUUAGAACUCUGGGAAAAGCAUAAGGAGGCAAUGUCAGAGGACUAGAGGCGCAAUAACCAAUCCAGCUUUGCAGUGGAGCAGAUGGUCCUCAUAGAUAUUCGGAAGUUGUUACAAUCAAUGCAGAAGGACAUAAAGAUGUACCCACUUCCUGAUAUCGAUGACACAUAUGAUCCAUCUGGCGAUAUUCCUAGGGAGAUUUUUGAGGAGGCCAGCGUUGAGGCAAGCAUUGAUAACAUGGCACUAUCAAAGACCCUUAACGAGGAGCAGCAGGCAGCCUAUAAUGAGCUUAUGUUUGCUAUUGAUAGCGAUGAUGGGGGUUUGUUCUUUGUGGAUGCACCUGGUGGCACCGGAAAGACUUAUCUAUAUAGGGCUCUGCUUGCUACUAUACGUAGUCAGAACAAGAUUGCCGUGGCAACAGCAACAUCUAGUGUUGCUACAUCAAUAAUGCCCGGUGGCAGAACCGCCCACUCAUGCUUCGAGAUUCCCCUCACCCUUGAUGAUGGGGCAUUUUGCACCUUCACAAAACAGAGUGGUACUGCUAAGCUGCUUCGGACUGCAUCCCUUAUUAUUUGGGAUGAAGUGACGAUGAUGAAGCGGCAAGGUGUCGAGGAGCUAGACAACAGUCUUCGUGAUAUCAUGGACCGUCCUAACCUGCCAUUUAGGGGGAAGACUAUGGUGUUUGGUGGAUAUUUCAGGCAAGUUCUUCCAGUUGUUCGAAGAGGGUCUAGGACUCAAAUAGUUGGUGCAUCACUACGGAUGUCAUACCUUUGGAAUUCCAUGCGACAUCUCAAAUUGGUGCGAAACAUGAGGGCAAAGAACGAUCCAUGGUUUGCAGAAUACUUGCUACGCAUUGGGGGGCUCUGAGGAGGCUAAUGGUGAUGGUGAAAUUCGUCUUCCUGAUGAAAUAUGCAUACCACAGACUGGGAAAGACAGUGAUCUUGAUACGUUAAUUGACUGCAUAUUUCCUGCCCUCAAUGUCAAUAUGUCAAACAAUAGCUAUAUCACCACACGAGCAAUAUUAUCUGCACGGAACGACUCGGUUGAUAUGAUUAACAUGAAAAUGAUAAGUCGUUUCCAAGGGAAUGAGAUGGUGUACCAUAGCUUUGACAGUGCAGUGGAUGAUCCACAUAACUACUACCCAUCUGAAUUCCUUAACACUUUGACCCCCAAUGGUCUCCCUCCACAUGUGUUAAAGCUCAAGAUUGGAUGCCCGGUCAUAUUGCUAAGGAACAUCGACCCUGCGGGUGGACUUUGUAAUGGAACCAUGUUGGUGGUUCGAGGGUUCCAAGGAAAUAUUAUCGAUGCAGAAAUUAUGGUUGGAGAUCAUGUCGGAAAGCGAAUCUUCCUUCCACGAAUCCCAUUAUGGCCCUCGGAUGACGAGAUUUUCCCGUUUCAGUUCAAGAGGAAGCAGUUUCCUAUUAGACUCAGUUUUUCCAUGACGAUUAACAAAGCACAGGGGCAGACUCUUCCCAAUGUUGGUGUGUAUUUGCCUGAACCAGUGUUCUCUCAUGGUCAGCUGUAUGUUGCACUAUCUAGAGCCACUGCCAGAUCAAAUAUUAGGAUCCUUGCAGUCCCGCCUAGAGAUAAGAGUGAUAAUGGUAAUAAAAAAAAUACAAGAAUAAAUGGUACAUACACAAAAAAUAUUGUCUAUAAAGAGGUCCUCACUCUAUAAAAAAGGUAGUCUUCUGUUUUGGUCUACUAUUAUAUUCUUACAUUAUGCCCUUAAUUAGUGACAUUUUUCGUGUCAUAUCAAACUGAAUAAUAUAAGAACUCCGAAUGAAUUUAUGCCCUUCUGCAUUGAUUCGUUCAUAUGUUAUUGACUGGAUGUACAAAAUGUUAUAUUAUUUCUAAUAUGUUUUUUCUUGGAUUAAUAUUUAAAUUUUUACGUUAAAAGGUAUUACUGACUAAGCGAAUGUUGUUGGUUGCUAUAUUGGAAGAGAAAUAGAGAGCAAUUCAAUGUCCACACCCUCCAUCUGAGGUCCCAGGUGACUAGGCCGCUGCCGACUGGUGCCCAGAUCUACAGUCCACUGAGUGCCGCACACUGCCUUUGGUUUGAAUAAUUUUAUUGGGUGAAAAAUAAUUAUUUAAAUCCGAUUUUAGGUUUGAUUUGGUUCUCGUUCUGUUUAUAAUAUUUACACUCAAGAGUUUAGUUCAAAAAAAUUAUAAGUUCUAUAAAUAUUUUAAACAGAAUUUCAAAAUUUUAUUACCUUCAAAAAGCAAUUGAUUUUGAUUUUCAAAUGAAUUUACAAAAGAAAAGGAAAAUAAAAGGGAAACCUCCCUCCCCUCUCUCUGGCCCAGUCCGGCCCAGUAAAAUCUUGGGUCAACUAUCAGUAGGGGGAGCACAACGCCUCCCUAUCCCUGAGUCACAGACAGUCGGAGCCCGCCUGUCAGCCUUUAUCCUCUUGCUGACAAGUUGACCCCACUUGUCAGGGUCAUCCCUUUCCUCUGUCCAUAUCCGUUCGUGGCCGGGUCUCACUGAGCCAACCGAAGGACCGGUUCUAAAGGGGACGAAGCUUGGCCGCCGCCGCUCCGUGAUCCUCUCUUGCCUCCCCGGUCUUGCGCGCACCGAGUCAGCCAUUUCUGCUCCCUCCUCUGUCAUUUAAAGCGAGCUCUCUUCCACCUGCAGCACCAUCGUCCACGUCCUCCUUCUCAGUGCCGAGCUAAAGACGAGAACACCGCCAUAAGUUCCGCGGUGAGCUCCUUCUCUUUCUGCACUAAGCUUUUACGCCCUCCGUGGUCUUUAGAACGAGCCGAACUUGCUCUGGCAAUGCUCAUCCCACAGGUUAUGACGCCAUUGUCGCGGUUUCUCCCUGCGGCGGAGAAGGAGGCGGCGGAGGGCAGUGUAGUCGGAGUCGGGGCGGGACGAGGAGGAGGUCUGUGGAUGAUGGUGCUGCAGCUGAGGAAGACAGGGUCCGUCGGCAUGGAAGGGGCGGUGGGGCACUCCGGGGAGGAGGAGGAGGAGGCCGCGGCCGAGUCGGCGGCAGCCAUCUCCACCGUCUCGCAGUCCGCAUGGCCGGUCGUUCGCGCGCGCCCCGGUGAGAAAUGAGGGACGAGGCCAGGCGGGGACUUGGAUGUCGGGGAAUCGGGCACUUCGGGCGGUCGUACGUGCGUGUGCUGGCAAGAAGUGGCUUGUUUCGUGUCCGUGACCUGUAGUGUCUGAACUUCGAUGUGGGCAAAUUCAGUUUUGAAUUGUUUUAGAUGCAAAUACAAUUUAUAUGUUUCAAAUAUGUUUUGAUACUAACUAAUUUAUUUAUAGUAUUACACAUUAUGGCUAUAUACGCUGCAUCUUUUGUAUCAUUGGAAGAUGCCUUGAGCUCUCCAAACAACACACAAGUUGACUUAAUAGCAGUCGUGGCUCAUGUCGGGUUGUGGGACUGCCAGACAUUAUUUCCUAACUCGUUUAGGGAGGUUGCACUCAAAGAUAAUAGGUAAAUGUUUAUUUGAAGAAAAAUAAUCUUUUUAAUGUCCUUGUGUUUUGUUUAAUCAUACUAAUAACUAUUACUAUUUUUUUAUGCAGCCGAAUUGGAUUUCUUCGUGUGUUCGCAUAUGAUGCUGAAGAAAACUACCACAUGUUUUUUUCAGCCGGUACUGAGAAUUAUUUUCUCAUUCCCACUAAUGUGGUUGUCGACUCAUAUGCACGUAAGUUUAUAUGAACAUAAUUAAAUUUUGGUAUUACCAACAACACAAAUAAUAAGCCUCAAUUCAUAUCAAUACAUCAUAGGUUGUCUGACAAUGACCGCUCAUAGUUCCAUGAUUUUUGUGGGUCCAAGGGAGUAUUGUCCUAUUUUUGCAUCUCUAGAAGGUAACUUUCUCAUCCUAAUUAUAAUAAUAUUAUAUAGAAUUAUAAACAUCCUGUUAGAGACAUCUAAUAUUUAUUUUGCAGCUAUCAGAGACGAAAUGCGAAAUAUCGCUUGUUACAAUGAUCAAAUUAAAAUUGCACUCAAUGCUCGAGCUAAUGAGAUCAAAAGGCUCGAAUACAAUGAAUGUACAGCUAUGGCAAACAAUCAAGGUGUCAUUAGUUACGUUAAUGGUUGCAACAUUUAAGAGGUAGAUGAAGAAGUAUUUGUGAUUAAAUAUUAGUCUUUUGUUGUAUCAAGAUUCUUCAAAGCAUCUUGUUUUACAAUAAAUGAAUGUACCUACACUCUACAAUUCAUCUCUUGUAACGUAACGAUUAAAUCUAUCAAGGCUCAUUACAAUCAAUGCUCAAUAGAUUAUUGAUCAUAAAUCUUGGUCAAAUUGCAAAAAGGUAUUGAUCGUAAAUGAUUAUUGCCCAAUAUUUUUGGUCAAAUUGCGAAGAAAGAGCAAAAUUUGAUAACAAUAGUUUAAUCGUAAAUGAUUAUUGCCCAAUAUUUUCAGAGACACAAUUGAUGUUUCUAUAAAUUAAGAAGAUAACAUAAUUCACAAAAAAAAAACAUGCAUGACCUGGUCAUGCCACAACAUAACUAGCGAGUCAGCCACGGUCUCUACCACCCGAAACUCACGAAAGCAUGACUGCCGUCAACACUGCCAGGCUUCAAUCGGUAGUUUCCAUAUCGAACCUCUAGCUCCCUCCGACUUACAAUUGCCCGAGACGGCGCACCUGGCUGCCGCCUCGACGCCUCUGUGACCCAGCACGCGGUUAUCCUCCAAUUCGGCGCGGAGAGCUCGGUGGCCCUCCCUUCGACGUCGCCUCAACUUGGCACGGGGCUUCAUCUGCACAAAGGCGGACGUCAACUUGCCAGGCCGUCCUGUUCCGUCACAUCGGCCGAAGUCUCCUUCUCCACCGCAGCAACCGUUGUUCGACACGCGCUCGUCGACGACGCUGGAUGCCACGACACCACAUGUAGGCUUGGCUGGACCACCUCCACCUCCAUCACGAUAGAUGCUGAGGUCUCCUUGCCACCGCUGCACACAGAUCUUCGUUGGUCGCUUCAUCAGAGUGUUGUCGGGGACCCAAGAGGUAUGCCCUUGUCAAAAAACGAAAGAGGUAUGCACUUGGCUAACUGAUGCUACAUAUGUGUUGGCGUGUUGGUCUUCUAUGUGGUACAUUUUAAAUUCAGGCUAAUAUAAACUAUGGAUCAUUAGACAUAGAGUUAAUUUGUUGCUUACACUUUUUUAUAUAUCAAGAUCAUGAACUCGACAAUGCAAGUACAAAUCAAACCAUACGCUCAUUGACUGACCUGAAUAUGGAAAAUUUAGAAUACAAGAUGACCAGGAGACACUGAGUCAGUGCAUUUUACCUAAACUUUUUAAGCUCAUUGACUGACUUGAACAUUGUUCAAACCAUAAGCCAAUUGACUGACCUGAACAUGGUUCACUAUAUUUUCUUCCUCACAUAUCUGAAUCAGUGCAUUUUACCUACACUUUUUAAGCUUGAACUUGCAUAUUGUUUAGAACUCUGAACCCCACUGCUUACAACUUUGAAACCCUAUACUCUUAAUUCAACCCUAAAAAAAUGAGAGAGACAUAGAGAGAGUGGAAAGCGAUGCUGGAGAUGGAGUAUCAACCAGUUCUUUUAAAAGACAUGAUACUGAAUCUACAAAGAUCGUGAUGCCAAUCAGUUUUUUGAAACAAUGUGGAGCAGCUAGCAUACUUCUUUUGCACAGCUAUCUUAACUGGUUCGAGUUAAAGUAUAUAUGUAUAUCUAUAGCGCCCAUGAGAAAAUUCCUUACAGGCUACAACGCUGAAAAAUCAAUGUGUAAAAUACAGUAGGGCUAAAGAAUAAGAACAUUUCCUCUUCAGCGUAAAUAGUGUCAUUUUAUCAGCAUUUCCUUCACCUUGAUGUUAUAUGCAUGCACCCAAAAAAGUGCAAAACCAAAGAGAUAGUAGUCUCAUACCUUGAGGUUGACCAUACAGAUAGUGUUAAAUGUAAAGUUACUCACCCUGUAUACGGCGCCAUGCAUAGCUAUGCUGUGCAGGGGGCUUCCAAGAACAACUUUUGCAUGUCCUCCUCCCAUUUCUCCUUCUACAUGGAUAUCAUGUAUGGCUCGGCUUGCAUGCCUAAACAGCAAGUGCCAAAAGUGUGAGCAAAGUGAGAGGUCCCCAACUUACCUGAAAAUGAGACAUGCCUAUUUCUGAGUAAGUAGAACCACCAAGCCUGACAGCAAUAAAUAGAGAAAGUAAUAAAUAUAGAACUUUAGAAAAGAAAAAGGCUACAAUAAUAUAUCAAACAAAUCAGCUCAUUUCUCUUGAAGUUUUGUAAGAUAUUCUAAUUAUUUCCCAAAGCAAAAUACAAAAUUAAACGCCUAAAUAAAUAACUCUCCACAUAUAGUUGGCCACUGCGAUGUUGCUGCUGCAAUGAACCAAUCUGAAGUUACAUAUUCCUAAUCAUCAUUACCUAACGGCUGAACUUUUGUAAUUAAUUUGUAGACCAAAGAUGCCAACAAGUCUUAGUUUGAAGAGAGUACGUGCUGAGUUUGUUCGGAGCUCUGAGAUGCCCAGGUAAAUUUCAAAUCUCAUAUUCUAAAAAUGUUAUAAUAGCUAUGAACAUUUGUUAGUAUAUGCCCAGUUAAAUUCACAUGUGUUCUCUGUCAUUUUUCUUACAGAUUUAAGAGAUUCCAAGACAUUCAACUUGUUGACAUUGGUUACUCUUGGAGUAUUACCGUUAGAAUUGAAGCAAAGUUCCCUUUUAAUCAAGACUUUCAGCGCUUCAUCCUCAUGGAUACUAUGGCGAGAUUCAAAAAUAAUAGAAGUAAAAUAGUUUCAUUCACAAACUAACACAGAUGGUAAUAAUGUUAUAUAUAAUUGUAGGGUUGCAAAUUAGUGGCGGUCGUGAGUGGCCCCGAUACCGAGAGGUUCAACAGGUUACUACAACAAGGACGUGACUACACAAUUCGUGAUGUCAGAUUCCAAGUUAAGCCGCACACUGAGUUUCGCAAUAUUCAAAGCAAUUACGAUUGUAGGUUGGACCGUUUGACUACAGUGGAGCGUUGGAACAUGCCUAUACAGUUUCCCAUGUGCUCGAAUCAGUUAACGUCCAUCCUUGAAGUCAUGCAUUGCCCAAGCAAGACCUAUAUAGGCAUUUUUAAAGUCUCCACUCUCUUACUUUACCUUUGUACUAAUACAUGUACUAUUUAUAUAGACAUUGCGGGAAUUCUUGUGCACUGGGGGAAAGUUGAGAGACCGCGUUCAGGGCUGUGUAGAGAGGUUGUCCUCAUGGAUUCAAGGUAAGAUUUAUAGCUUGUAACUAUUUUUUUCUAAUAUACAAUCAGUUUUUUGAAUGCCUCCUAUAUUCUAACACAUAAAUAUAUGUAAUUAUAGAGGUGAUUUGAUAGUUGUGAUCAUGUCAUGCAAAGUCUUGGCUGCACAUAAAAUAAAGCUGCAAAAUGCCACUAGUACAACACCGCUUUCUAGUGGCGGUUCUAGAGGGGUUUGUACAAGCGGCAGACAGUACCGCCAGUAGCUUUCGCCAGUACAAAACAAAAAUUAUACAAGCGGUUUAUCAAGAACCGACUGUGUUAACAAUUUACACUAUCGGCUUCAUUUGUACCACCGUCGCUUGUGUAAACAAUUUACACUAUCGCAUUUAUUAUAUGAUCCGCUUCUGAAAUGUCUUUACACAGUCGGUUUGAUAACAAAAUGCGCUGGUUGAAGGUCAUUUACACUGACGGUUUGUAUAGCAAGCCGUCUGUACUAUAUAGCCAGAUAUAGUGUUCUUUUUUGUUUAUGAUCUACCUAAUUGUUUGGCGAAAUAAUUCUCUGUGCACAUGCUUUUCCUGGAUCUUGAUAACUAUGCAGAAAUACAUACAUAUUGAAAAUUUAUUCUUUUUGUUUGAAAAGCCCAUGCACAACUGAAUAUAUGUCUAUUUUGGUAAUGAACUAGAAGAUCAAGAUCUUAAAACACUUUUUAUUAGUUUUAGUUAUGUGUUUUGGUAUUGAUUAUUUGUGAGGCUAUGAGAAUUUAUAUAUGUUUUACCCAUAACAACGCAUAGGCACUCAAGUAUACACUAAAACAGAAGACUACCAAAAGAAUAAGAGAAUAACUUGUGUAAGAAUCACUAACCUUAGGUGGCAUUUCAGGCCGUUGCUGCUAUUCUGGGCCGCCGGCUGAUGCAACCUAGCUUUGAUUCUGGCCCAUCGGUCUGCCAGCGAAAAUCAAUUAAUCAAGCCAAUUGUAUUUUUGUUAUAAAAACUAAAAGGGAAAGACUGUAGUGGGAACGAAAUGUGCAUACUUUUAUAUCUGAUGAAAAAUUUGUUACUGUUUUCUGGGAACCUCCUUUCUUGAGUUGAAAGUUCAUCCACAUUUGCCAACAGUGGUAACUGAUAUUAUUGUGACAAAAUGUUAGCACAACCAGUUUCUUUACAUGAAACAAACACAACACUGAAGACAAACAUUAUCAAGGAAACAGUACGAAAAGACAAGAGCUUGCCUUGAUUAUUUGAGAAAUUAAACCCAUGACCAGAUGAGGCUGCAAGCAAAUAGAAAUAAAUUUCAGUAAGAUUACUAAGAGACUUGUAUGAAUUCUUUAAAAUAUAAAAAAGAUCAGCAAGCAAUACAGUGGCUGCUAGAAACAGCACCCAAAUCUGAUCAUGGAGGAUGUAAAAUGAAGUAAAUCAAACAAGACAGAUCAUAACUUCAAUGAAAAUUAUGAUACCUGAAAGGCUUGGAUGUUACUAAAACCUGCGGUAGAAUCUAAAGGUCAUUUAAGUUACCCUAAACAUUCACUAUCAAACCGAUAAUCAAGUGGGAUCAAUUGAGAUUGAUUGAUUCUUUCAUGGUACCAUGGACGCAAAUUUCAAGUAUCUUGAAUUUGCACAACAACCAUCAAGCUAACCAUAUGUUACCACUCCAACUUUACAUGAUUGUCCCGUGGUGGUCAAGUGGCAACCACCAGCGUGCUGAAGUACGGACAUGAAACUAAAAAACCUAUAUAGACAAUUUACGUAUAAUUUCGGGCCGUGGCUGCUAUUCUGGGCCGUCGGCUGAUGCAACCUAGCUUUGAUUGUGGCCCAUCGGUCUACCAGCGAAAAUCAAUCCUGUUUAGAGGUUACGAUCAGUUAGCAUAAAAGGGAACUCUGGUAACAUUUGCCUAAUCAAUCUGCUAAAUCCUCGGAUCAAGUCCUCAUCCACGCGAGGUCAUUGCGCCUUCCAAGCAGAAGUACUGAAGGACUACUACGUCUACGUCUUCGAGGUGCCGCCGCCAUCAAAUCAUCAACACACGUCCGGCCGUCAUAAAAACAGUAUGUUUCCUAUCCCAAUUGGCGUUACGUAGGCGGGGGAAAGGGGGGAAUAGCGUCACGCAGAUGGGUGGACGGGGAAUGGGAGCCGCGUGAACGUACCUUGCCAAUCUUCUCGAAGUAGUCGGUGAGACACAGGUUCCAUUCGUUGAUGGUGUUGUCGGUGAUGGCGGAGAGCCAGGCGGGCCAUCCGGCGUCGAGAUGCUCCCCGCGCGCUGUGUUGGCGAAUCCGGGGCCGGGGACGCUGCAUAACGAGCGGGAGCGACUCUACCGCCAGGCCGGCUGCUCUGCUGGUGCUGUCGGCUGCUCUGCCUUCCCGGUGGCCUCCUCCGCUGCUGCGGGGGCCGGCGGCUCGGGUACUGGACGCGGAGGGCUGGCCAUGGACGCAGCCAUGGGGAGAUCCUCACCGGUGAAGUCUCAUGGGGGAAGGGCGGCUGCGACUGCUGGUCGGUGCUGGGCGCGGAUGGGCGGCCGUGGACGUAGCCUAUUGGAAGAUCUUCACCGGCGCUGUCUCAUGGGUGAACUCGAGAGGGGGAGGAUCGCUCCGAGAACACGAGGAACUGGACAAGGGAUUGGAGUGGAGCGGAUGCGGCGACUGCGGCUGAUGGUCGGGUCGGGUCUGGAAGCAGAGGCACGGGCGGAGCUGCCAAGCUGGGCUUUUUGCCAAUCUGCCACUGUGCUUCUGCGGAGCUGGGAUCUCACACUUGUAUUUUAUUAUAUGUUAUAAUUAAUGUAUGAUCUACUCCCUCUUUAAAUCAUAAAUCAUAGGAAAUUUUAUUGUUUCUUCAAGCUGCCUGACAUACAAUUUAUGAAUUUUUAGAUGUUGUUAGUGACGAAACCAUGUAAUAAACAAGAGAAAAAGGUGUGCCCAUCCAGGUCGGUGUUGCAAUAUAAUAAACCAAAGAAAACGGACACGGUCAAAAGUCAACCUCAAGGUUCUUACUUUCAUUGACCCUUCCUAUUUUUCUUUCGCUAAUGAGACCUUCUAAUUCUUUAUUUUCCUGUGUUUUAUGCAGAUUAUGUUUGCAACGCCGAAGAUUAUAGUACUAUUGAAAAUAUUCUGUUGCAACCAAAAAAAAGUAUUGGUGGACAUCCAGGGAAUGACCAUAGAACGCCAUAGAACGAGAUAUUUUGGAAUGCCUCUUACAUGAUAAUAGAUUUUUGGAAGGAGAUGUAAGUAUAUGCAUGCAUGAUUUCAUGUUUCAAAAUGCUUUGCUUAUUCUGAUUCUGAUUUACUGCUUGCAAUACAUAUAUAUAUAUAUAUAUAUAUAUAUAUAUAUAUAUAUAUAUGCAUAGGUCUUAAGUGCCUACAUUGAGCUUAUGAGGUCCGAAAAACAUCUCCAAAACAGAGCUGGUGGAACGGUAUUCCUAGAGAAUACGUUCAAUACAAGUAUUCUACAGCGUGAUGGCAAGAUAAAUGAGGAAUACCUCGAUCCUAAGGUAGAUCACAUAGCAAAAAGGGUGUGCAACUAUUGGGAAUAUGACAUGGUAAAAUUGUGCAUCUCAAGCCCAUAAAUGUCGUUAUCAUUUAGGUGUAUUCCAUUAUAAUAUUUUAACUUUUGAUUUAGGUAUUUCUUCCGAUCAACAUCAAAGACUUUCACUGGUACCUUGCAGUGGUGGAUGGUAUAAAUGAAGAGAUACAUAUGCUCGAUUCAUUAGGUAAAACACAGGAGAAUCGUUAGGAACUUGUCUAUACGGUUAGUAAAAUAUUAACUUUAUUUAAAAGUUCUGCCUGAUUGUUAUUUUUUUAUUACUGACUAUGUGUUAUAUUAGAUAAUUGGCCUACAGAGACACAUAGAUAUUGUAGCAAAACAUAAAGAUAUACAAACAAAAUGGAAGAACCUUCAAGUUCAAGAUUGGAAAUUCAAUGAGGAAUUCACAAGUGCCAUGCAAACAGAUGGGUAUAAUACUCCAUCAUAUGUAUCAUACAAAUACAAUUAUUUAAAAUUCAACUAAUAUACUAUAGAUAUAACUGUUAGUGUUACGUUUUCAUGUUUCAAAAUUGGUAGGUCAUCAUGUGGCUUAUUCAUGCUUAACUACAUGGAAUAUUGGAGAGGAAAAGGAAAAGGUCUAUCAGACAGUGUAACUCAGGUAUAUAGGAAUAAUAAUGUUUUAUUUGUUGAUUUAUUAUAUUUUUUUUAGUAACAUGUCAUCAAAAAAUAAUAUGCAUACAAGAUGAUACAUAGGGUGAUAUGAUUCAAACUACUUGCCAUUUUGUUGAACUGCCAACAAAAUGCCCGGGAAUGGUGGUUGACUUCCGAAACUGAUGAUAAGGAAGAAGAGAGUAUAGAUGAAAUUGAAAUUUUAGAUAGACCACUAAAAAAAAGCAGGGGUGAGAAGUCAUAUGCCUAUGAAGAAGAUUUAAUAUUGUCCAGGGUUUCAAAUUAUAUCAACUCCAUUAGUGAUGCAACUACUUUAGAGUAAGUCACCUCUAUUAUAUAUAUAUAUAUAUAUAUAUAUAUAUAUAUAUAUAUAUAUAUAUAUAUAUAUAUAUAUAUAUAUAAUAGUUGGUAUUUUCCUUUAAUUAUAUGCAUAAUUUUUUUGUAGGUCCUUUGCAAAGAAGUUAGCUGACAUGUUGCAAAAUGCUAACGCACAUGCCCUUACAUUUCGUGACUUGCCAAUGGGCGAACAAGAAUUAAGAGACCGUGUUUGCAAUUAUAUCAUGACAAUUAACGAAGAUAUGGCUUUAGAGUAAGUUUAUUUUCGUGAUAAAUGACAAAUCAUAUACCACGUAUUGUUACAUGUAUACAAAUAUUCAUAUUUUACAGGCAAAAAUGGGUUGUAAGUGCAAAGCCCUAUCCGAUUGUGUUGAGUCUCAAGAAAACCCAAAGGAUGUUAAACAAGAACGAGGGAAUUCAUGAUGAUUGUUUUAACCUGGUAGCACGGAAGUUUGCUUUUGAAGAACUUGAAAAGUUGAAGGGAACAAACAAGAUUGUGUCAAAGCAUUACAUGGAUUUAAAGUUUUCGGUAGGUUUUACUUUAUAUAAUGGCAUGAUAUAUAAUCACUAUUUCUUUUGUUGUAUAUUUCUAGACUUUCAUUCAUUAUAUUACUAUAUAGCUUGCAUGUCAACUAAGUAAUGGUGACGAGUAUCGAACAAAAGUUGAUUAUAACCAACUGGCAAAAUUUGCUCUUGAAUGUCCUUGGAGAAAAUAUAAUGUUAAAGAGUGCACAUGGGUAACGUUGUUUCUCUUAUUAUGUUCCUUGCAUCUUUUGUGUAAAUAAAUACCAUGUUAUUCUUAAAUAUCAUAUUACUGAGAUGCUCCUUUUCAAUUACAGAUUCUAAUACCACUUCAAAUGGUUACAGCAUGAGGUAUUUAUAAUCUUUUUUGUUCAAGACAUGUCUAGAAGAGCUCUCUACAUAGUAGACCAAACUCCUAAACCUGAUCUUUACAAGAUUCAACCACUAAAAAAUAUACAAACAAAAUUCAAAGGGUUUCCACUGCCCUAAAUGAAGUCAUGAAAGUUUCAUGCCCUUGGUGGCGAGAUGAUUUAAUCCUCUUUGACCAUAGAGUUGCAGAAGUCAACCAAUUUGAGUUAAAUGGGUAAAUACUUUUACAAUAGAAACUAUUUGUUUUUAUAUUCUACUAUAUAUAUAAUAGUAAUAAUUUAAUGCUUCCUCAGGGACUUGUCUGGUUAUAAUGUUCUACUUGCUAUGCAUGCGUGGAAUGGUAAAAGGAUAGAAACAUCCAUUUGCAAUAAUGUGAGUAUUGACCUUUGUAGAUUAUUAUUGUUUUUUCACCUCAUAUAUUUGUUUAACUAAACCUAUAUAUGUGUAUAAAAAUCUUACAGGAUAAUUAUGAAGUGAGGAAGCAUAUAUUGCUACACCUACUCACAUAUACCGGGAACAAAAAUAUUGCCAACAUACCUAAAGGUGUUCGAGAUCACCUUGAACGCUAUAUUUGUCUCACAAGCAAAAAAAGAUGAAUUGUUUCUUAUUUUUCUACUUGUUUCUUUAUUUUAAAUAUAAGUAGAUUGAGAUGUGUGUUUUAAUAUUAAUUAUUAUUAUAUUAAUUGUGAUGAUAUGGAAAUUAACGUAUAAUUUGUUGUGUGAUGUGUUACCCGUAGCGACUUUACGUAUAAUUUGUUGUGUGAUGUGCUACCCGUAGCAACGCACGGGCACUCAACUAGUGAGUAUUAAGCAUCACAAUAAUAACCAUAUCCGGAUUAUCACAUAGCUAUCAUCAUUCUCAUCAUAACCAUUAAGUUUAUUUAGUGAAUUCUACGUUGCCGCUGCUCGAGUCAAGUUCUCACUAUCUGGGAGAGACGACAAUUCGAAUCGAUUCAUAUCCAGCUGGAGGGGUAUUCCUAGCACUCACCCAAGCAUACCUCGCGAGGGCAGCUUGGAUCACCUUUAGCACAACUCCGGACCAAGUCGCGGGUCCGUCCAGCGCCGCACCCCCAAGGACCACCAAUCUGCCAGGGCAGGACUCCAACCUGACACCUUGGGCUUACGUCAUUUACUUCCCGCACAUCCUUGCUACCAACCGGGGUGCGCACUCAUACAGAACCGGGUAUCCGGCCUGAGUUGCACUCGUAGGCUUCGCGGUUGGAACGACUUUUCCGGCCAACUAAGUGUUAGGCAUGCGUUCAACAUGACACGAGGACGUACAGCAAAUCGGUCCUUAACCGACACAGACGGGGAUAGAUUCACACCCAAGACCUCCAUGCCUUGUUGCUGCACUAUCGUCAUCCCGUCCGGUCUCAAUUCAUUAUUAGUCUUUGGUUAUUUCCACGAUAGCAAAUAUAACCAACCGUGAUCAAGUAUCCACCUAUCUCUCGCAGGUGACAGGAAAUCACCCGGCUUGUACCGAGCUAAGCAUGGCUAAGCAUCAUUUCGAUCCUGGACCUACUUAGGUAAGUUAUGAGGUGGACAAGGUAGUCAUUAUGCAGCAAGGGUGUCAUAUCAACGCCUAACACUUAAUGCAACAAUACAUAACCAUAGUUAUUUGACAGCUGGACAUGAUAACAAAAAAAUAGUAGGAGGCUUAUAAUGCUCCAGGGCUUGCCUUCGAUGUAGGUAGAGGGACGAUGGUCGGGACACUCCGGUAGAUCCUCCUCCUCAGCUCCUUAAGGUGGCUCCCCCUGCUGCUCCUUCGGCUCGGGUGGUGUGAACUCCAAGACCGUCACGCCCUUGGGUACACCUAAGUAUGCAUGACAAGGUGAUGAAUAAAGGGAAUGCACACAUGAUGCAUGAUGUUAUGAUGAUAAGCCAAAAGAACAUGAAACAAGAUGCAACAUGAUCAAAAGUUCCUAAGAGUAAUUGAAUCCUGACUAAGUAAGUAAGUGCAUACUUCUUCUCUGGUAGAGAGGCUAACUAGACAAGCUACUCAACCGUAGCUACUCACACUAAGUAACUGGUGUCAUGGACAGAUUAGCUUGUCAUAAGAUUCAGCUAUAACCUAGGCAUCAUUUGGCCAAACUAAGCAAGUGGGCACUUUCUGGAAAGCUUAACAAAUUUUCUACAAUUAGCUUUCAGACAUCCAAGAAGGAUUCCCAGCCGAAAUAGGUUGAAACAGACAAAGUUGGCUGGCUGCUUUGGAAAAUCCAGAGAGCAAGCACUUUGCAGCAACUUCAUGCAAUAGUCAUAACUAGUCAUAACUUUUAAACUACUCAGCCAAAUGUCAUGGAAUUUGGACACAAGGUAGAUAAGUAAGUUAGCUACAAGUUUGUUGUAGAUAAGUUUUCCAGAAAACCUCACCUUCAAGCAGUUCUUAAACAAUUGCUAUCAGCUAUACAGAAUAUGCUCUAGGAAAGACAUAAGUAGCAAAAUAAUAUUUUGACACAUACUAAGAAUGUAACAUUGGUUGAAACCAAAUGCACCAGUAGAUAGAACAUGUAUAAGAAACACCAGAAAACAUCAUGGCAAGGUUUAAACUCAUUUCUAUUAUCCCCUUUUCUAUUUAUUUGAUUAUUAGGAUGAUUUAAUGAGCAUGUAACACAAGUGCUCCAAAAAUUCUAAUACAAUUACAGCAAGCCAACUAGACCACCACCAGUUCACUGUAAAAUUUUCAGGGCUCUUGCACAUGCAGAUUGUGAGAUACAAAAAUGACAAGCUAACAAUGGCAUUAAAGGCAUAAUUGUGAAACCCUAUCAAAAAGUGCCAAACAACAGAUUUCAUAUUUUUCUUAGUUUUUCUUAGACAUGAUUACAUCACUCAGCAAGUUUCAACAUAAAAGGAGUUAUAACUUAUUUACUAAAAAUAAUGAAACUUCUAUUUAAACAAGAAUUAUUUAAAACUCCACCAACAGUUAUCCAAAAAUCAUGAUAAAUUUACAAGAGCCUAUUCACACCUUAAGUAACACUCUCCUAAAUUUUCAUGGCCAUAAGACUCAUAGAUCUCAAGAUAUAAUUACCUCCUAUUAAACAAGAUUAAAUCAUAUCUAUCUAUUUAUGCAAAAACAUGGCAUGUUUUAUAUUUUUAAUAAAAACUAGACUAACACAAGAACCUAACAAAAUUGGAAUCACUCCAUUUGGAUCUGUAUAGCUCGAGUUAUGAAUUUUACAAAAACAACACAGGAUCUGCAAAAUAGUAGACACCACACACCAGGGAGAGAGAGACAGAGGCUGACAGGUGGGGUCUGCUGACAGACGGGACCCACGCGAUAGAGAGACAGAGACAGGGGAGAGCUCGUCACCGGUGAAACUCGACGACGGCGAGGUCUCGGUCGAAUCCAAGGGCACCAUCGUGACCCUCUCACCAAGGCGGACCUGCCGAGGUGCAAAACCCUAACUCUACCAAGCUCUAGAGGCUCGUCGGUGUGAAUGGCGGCUCGGCGGCGCUGCGGGCGGUACGCUGGCGUGCUCUGCCGAUGCCGUCCCAGUUGAGCUUCACGCCGAGCAUCAGUGAGUCAAGGGGAAGCUCUAGGAACAAAAAUGAGAAGGAAUGGUAGAGCAGGGAGGUUUGGCCAUGUCGCCGGUGAUCUCUGCGAACUCCAGUGAGGUGGAGCUCGCGACGGAGUGGACAAUGUGGCCUCACGAGUGCUCGGCUAAGGGAAAGAGAUGUACGUCGAGGUAGAGGACGUCGAGGCGGCGCUCUAGGCGGGCUGGCUUGGCCGGAGACACGGUGGAGCGGUCGGGAAAGCUCGCCGAAGCACGGCGGAGCUUGCCGAGAACGAAGGUGGAGGGAAUGGAGCGCUCUGAGCGAGUGGAGGUCGCGUCUGAGGCGUCCUUGCGGUGUGUGGCGACUUAUGGGCGACGCUGGAGCUGACAGGAGGGCCAUCGACGGCGUACGGCCGACAGGUGGCCGGACAUGUGGCGGCGGGUGAGCUCUGUCCCAACUGAAUCGGGCGAUUCAGUCGCCGUGGACAGUAACUGAAACUCGAUUUUCAUCAACGUUUUACUCUCAAUUCACUCGAUGGUUUUGGCUCGGAUUUGUUCCUUUAGAUAGAUCUACAUGAGUUCUCAAGAUUGCUUAAAGGAUCAAGGUCUAACUCGGCCUGGAUUUCAAGCUAUAGAGCUCCCAAGUACCCUAUAUCGAAACUGCCGAUUCCAGACUUUGCUAAAUUCGGCUAUGUGUGGAAACAGCCCUAAUUUCUGGCUUGUGAGCAAAUUUUGAAUGUGUUCCAUGCAUUUUCAUAAAAAAUCAUCAACACAACUUUUGUAGCUUAUGAAAUUUACUACAACUUUACUUUAGAUGUCAUUUACAUGCAAGGUCUCUAACACUGGUUUCAUAAAAGGUCUUUGAAAAGAGGUUUAGGGGGGUCAACUAGGCCAACCUAGGGCUAACCAUGACCUAGGGGCAUUUUUGGGCAAAACCUCCAACAUAAACUUUGUUCAAAAUGUUAUUCUAAACAUGAUUAACGUAUUUUGGAAGACAAUGUGCACUUAUAUGCAUUGGUCACACAUUACUAUCACCUAUAGCAAGUCACACAAGCAAUUCAAUCACAUAGUGUAUACACCAAAUGACAUGUGAUCAUGGUGUGAUGCUCAUGAGUGAUCAUGAUGAUGAUUAUGUUGAUGCAAUGCUCAUGGUUAACAUGCAAGCUAACACUAGGAGUGUUACAUCAUCGGCAGUAAUCUGGUGCUGAGGAUCCACCGAUGUGCUUUUUUCAGCUGCCUCUGAAGUCAAUACUUUGGUCUUUCCCUUAGCAUCCAACAUAUUUGUAGGGAAACGAUGUUGGUCGAUCUUCAUCGGCUUUUGAGCUUUGGAGUUAUCGAACCUAAUUCUCCCAAACUCUAUAGCCGACUGCAGCUGCUGCCUGAAAACUUUGCAUUCAUUUGUACUAUGAGAUGUUGCAUUAUGCCACUUGCAAUACUUAAUCUUCUUUAAUUCUUCUGCCGAUGGAAUCACAUGGUUAGGUGACAACUGAAUUUGCCCCUCCUGAAGCAAAAAGUCAAAUAUCCUAUCGGCUUUGGUGAUGUAAAAUGCAAACUUUUCUGGAUCUUUAUGCCCAAAAGGGCAAGACAUCGGCUUUUUAUUUUUUACCCAUUCUGCCAAGCUGAUGACUGGCUCUUCAUCAGAAUCUGAGCUCGUUGCCUCAUCGACAAAUGACACCUUUUUGUUCCAUGCCCUCUUGGGUUCAAAAGCUUUGAUAUCUUGGUCAGAAAUCCACUGCACUAAAUGGCUCAGACUUUCAAACUCUUGAGAAGCAUACUUGUCUUUAAUGUGUGGCAACAACCCUUGGAAAGCCAAAUUGGGGAGCUGCCGAUCAUCCAAAACCAGACUAUAACAUUUAUUCUUAACAUCUCGCAACCUUUGCACAAAGCUCUCAACCGAUUCGUCAUUGCUCUGCCUUAGCCUGACUAAAUCGGUAAUCUUCUUCUCAUGCACUCCAAAAAAGAAGUAUUUAUGGAACUAUUUUUCUAGAUUGGCCCAGGUGAUCACUGAGUUUGGAGGUAAUGAAAUAAACCAAGUAAAGGCCGAUCCAGACAAAGAUGAUGAGAAUAAGCGAACCCUUAACUCAUCUCUGUUAGCAGUUUCCCCAUACUGGAUGAUGAACCUAUUAACAUGCUCCAUGGUUGACGUAUCAUCCUGCCCCGAAAACUUGAUGAAAUCCGGCACCUUGUACCGAUUUGGAAGCGGAAUUAAGUCAUAUGCUGGAGGAUAUGGUGUCCGAUAAGAGUAAGUGUUGACUUUGGGUUUUAUCCCAAAUUGGUCUCUCAUCACCUCAGCUAUCUUAUCGGCCCAGUAAGCAUCAGCAUAUUGCCGAUGAGCUUGUUGUGGAUUCGGCAUCUGCUGAUAAGCUUCCACAUGUCUCUGCAGUGCACGAUCCCUACAGAACAUAGGAUUAGCCACCGCCUGUUGACCACCAACUUGGUGACCAAGAUUCAUCGGCUGGUUGAUCAACCCUUGAUUUUGAAAUCCAGGUUGCAUUGGUCCUUAUUGAAAUCCCAUAGCCUGAUGAUUUUGCUGAGGCAUCUAUGGAAAGACAAACUGCCCUGUCCAUCCAUUGUUAACAUUCAUCGGCGUAGGUCCUGCCGAUGGCUGAUAAUUGGGCACCAUCAUCGAAUUGACAUACCCUAGCUGUGUCAUAAACCUUUGCUGUGUCAGCAUUGGAUCUGCCGAUGCAUUAGGCAUCUAGAACGUUGGCAUUUGAGAAUUCCUAGCAAAAGGUCUUGUAGUAGUAGUUGUAGAAUACUUGGGAUUCUGAGUCAUCGGUGAGCCUGGGGGUGCCGAUGCCAUAGGAGCAUUGCCUGUCAUGUCAGCCACUUGAGAUGUCCCAGAACUUUUUGCCAUAAAUUCUGGGGGCAUACCAUAUCCCCACCAAUUGGGAGGAACAGAUACUGACAUUGCUGAUGCUAAUAAAUCUGUAGCAAGUUUGACUUGUCCCUCUGAUGUUGAUGGAUUAGUCGUCAUCGGUGUAGAUUGCGCAUUAGUCAUCCCUAAUGUGCUUGGAGGAGAAGUAACUUCCGUACCUGCAACGGCUGUAGUAGCCGAUGGAGCCGUAACCGAUGAUGAUCCUGGCUGAUGAUAGUCAGGGCCCACAUAAGAUGGUGGUAUCUGUCCUUCUUUGAAAGUUCUAGCCACAACAUUGAAAACUGUAUUGGACAGCACAUUAGAUUGAUUGAUUAGAGCACAAAUGAUAGCACUGUCAACCAUCUCUUGUUGUUUACUAGGAUUGGCUUCAAAAGUGAUUUGCCGAGGCAUCAACAAUGCUUCCUUUUGGAUCACCUCGCCACUCCUGUUGAUAUUGAAGGAUUUCAAGCAUAGCUGCUUGUAGUCCUCCAUAGCUUUUGCCAUAUCUUGCUUCUAUUCAUCUCUGAGAUUGGCUUCCGUCACGGGGAUGACGUUCUCCAAGUCGAAAUUAGUGUUCGACAUAAUGAUCUUGAUGUUGAAUCAUUGUCCCACUGGGCGUGCCAAAAGAUGUGUUCGUGCAAAAGUAGAUCUACAAACACAAAGGGCUAAUACCCGAUUCAACAUUAAGACGUGCCAGCCGAUUUGACCUUACAAUCGACAAAGGUGGUAACUCGAAUACUUUGGUCCCGACAACAGCGAUGCGCCCGGAUGUCACGGCCAAGAGGUAUUCACACGGAACUCGAGAAUUCACCGAGGUUAACUCGUUGUAAAAGGAAAAUAUGCAGGUUGAUGAAGUCGUCAAAAGUAGAUGCUGAAAUAGAUGUAAAAACUUGUGUUUGGUUGAUUGUGUCUAACAUUACAUCGCUACGGGGUCUCAUAUUUAUACCCUGCCCAAAAGGGUUACAAUCAGACACGACUAGGACUCGAAUUCCAAAUUGAACGGAAUCCGUACACAAAACAAACUCUAAUAACUGUGGAAAGCAUUAAGUUAUCUUCCACAACCGUUCGGUACACCACCUUGAAUCGAUCGACAAUUCCAGCGCCUUUCUUUGUGACCAUCGGCGAACCACCUUUCAUAGCCAUCGGCAACCAUCAGCACCAUUCAUCGGCAUGAAUCCCUCACCACUCCUAGACUUGGCCAUAUUCUGUCGUUUUCUCAUCGGCACCAACCCUCAUUGGCAACUCUCCUGUCAACUAGUCACCACUUUUCUGCCUGCCGAUCUACGCCUUAUUAACUCCAGAUACGCAUCCAAAGAUACGUGUCCAAAAACGGUGUCGACACUGCCAAGCUAGACCUGCUCAUGAAGAAGCUCGAUGAUAAAGCUAGAGAUAAGAAGGAAGUUAUGCACGUCUAUGACUCUCACAUGAUUUGUGAGGACUGUGGAGAUACUGGACACUCAGGCAAUCACUGCCCUGAGAUGCUUGAGGACGUGAACUACAUCAACAACAAUAACAACAACAACUACUACCACCGUCGUCAACAAAAUCAAGAUUGGAAUCAACAGAGGCCUAACUACUCAGGUAAUUAUCAAAGUAACAAUUCUUACAAUAAUAAUAAUAAUUUUCCACCUCUGAGAGAGUUAGUGUCUAAUCAAGGAAAGCUAAUGGAUAACCUAUCUAAGAAAUUGGCAUCUAAUGAUAAAAUUCUAGAAAAAAUAAAUAAUAGAAUGAAUAAUUUCUCUACUGCCAUCAAGAAUCAAAUUAGCUUUAAUAAAAUGAUUGAAUCUCAGUUAAAUCAAAUAGCUGCUGCUGUUCCAGCUACUAACCCCGGUAUACCAUCACAACCUUAAGGAUUAGAAUCUGCAAAUCUUGUAGACAUGUUUGAUACAGGUAACUACUGGAGUAACCCCGUCGCGGAAGUUACUACUGACCUUCUACCGGUCAAGAGAGGCGAUCUAGGACGCCCUGCCAUCCCGAUCUCCAUCGACAUGGUGGACUUCCCAGAAGCACUCUGCGACUUUGGCUCUAGUGUCAACAUUAUGCCAGGGUACUCUAUGAAAAAUUCUUUAUAUAUCCUUUAUUAGAAACAACCAUGUGUUUGCAGCUUGCCGAUCGGACAUUAAGUUUCCCAAAGGGAAUAUUGAAGAACCUUUGCGUCCGAGUUGGUACCUUGUACGCCCUAGCAGACUUCGCGGUGACAGAGACCGGUAAUGAUGAGAGGGCACCCGUCAUCUUAGGGAGGCCAUUCCUGAACACCUCGAGAGCUGUCAUCUACGCUAGUGCUGCCAUGAUCAGUUUUUACAUCAAGGGGAGGAAGGAGACGUUUUCCUUCAAGGACAAGACUACACAAAUCCCAGAGCAAUCCCGACAUGAACCAAGGAAGAGGACCAACAGGAGGAACAGGAACAAGCAAGUGUGGACCGAGUCAGCUAAGAUGGUCACUGCAGUUCAAGGAGGUCAAGAUCAUCGACUCAAGUCACCAUUCCUGACCAAGAAGGACGACCUAGGUAUGCCAAGCAUCCAGUGCUCCAUUAAUUGGUACAACUUCUACAAGAUGCUUUGCGACACCGGAUUGGGCGUCAACAUAAUAGCCGCAGUCACCUAUGAGCUCCUGUUUGGAACCAUAACCCUAAAACUGACAUACAUUCAGCUCCAGAUGACAGAUCAGACAUUUCGAAAGGUUGAAGGUAUAGUAACUGAUGUCCCUAUUAAAAUAGAUAAUCAUUUUGUCCAUACAGACUUUCAGGUUAUUGACAUUGGAGAAGGCGAGUAUGAUCCACCCAUCGUCCUUGGGAGACCUUUCCUCAGUACUGUUAAACCAAUCAUCUACAUUGGAACUAGAGCAUCUCAUUCUCCCCAAAAAGUUUCAAAAGAGCAAGAACGGUAUGUAUCCCCUCAAGUAGAAUUAGACUUUCACCAUUGUUGUCGCCAUCAUCACCAUACACCAUUCAUUUUGCCACACAUGCACAUCUUGAUUUGACUUAUUGACUUGUUUCUCUGGAUCCAUGGUUUGACUAUGCAAUAAAUGUCUUGUAAGUAUGUAUACUUUAUCUCCCACCUAUGAGCUCCAGAUAUCAAAAGCCUUAUUAAAGUAGGGUGAGAGAGAGAGAGCAAGGUCACUGUGCUUUAUACUACAAAUACCACAUACUUUGAGAGAGAAGGGAUAUACCAUCACUGCCUUGGUAAGGAUCCAGAAAUACCACAAAAGAGAGAUCUGAGAGAGUCAUACAAGGAAUCUCUGAGUUUUAUUUGAAAAUCUGCAAAAACUCCAGAGCUAUGGCUAAUCAAGAAUAAGAGACAUGGCGCUUGACUAGACCGUUCUAUCUUUUAACUGCUCAAGACAGAAAUGACGGUUACAAGUCCCAUGGUAAAAGGUAAAAUGAGUAAGUUUUAAAUCUUGACGGUUUACUCUAACUCAGAGAUGAGACCUUAUUUGAAAGCAUGUGUACCAUCAAAACUCAAAGGUAUUACGCAACUUCUGAUCCAUCACUGAGAUUAUCCUUGCUCAGGGACGAGCAAGAGGUAAGCUUGGGGGAGUUUGUUGACAUUCCUUAAAUAUCAAAUAUAAUCAACAAAUAAACAAAGAAAAGGAUCCAAAUGCAACCGGCACCUAGACUUAGGGUUUUAUCGGACAGAAUUCCAUGAGUUUUGGUGUUUGUCUAUUUCUGCAGGGGGUUAUCAGGAAUUAUGGAAGAAAGGCCCACACGUCGGGUUUACAUAGAGAUAUUAAUGUGCACCACAAUUAUCUAACAUCUAGAAGAGUCCAGAAGCCACGGGAACGAGCGGGAGGCCGAGCGAGCCCGGGGGCAGGGCGCCCGCCCUCCCCCCUUGGGCGCUCGCCCUGGCCUGAGAGCCAAUCAGGCUCCGCCUCGCGGAUCAUGCUCCACCGACCUAAGGGAUUAAGGAAAACCGUGCGAUUAAGGUCAGUUUGAUCUGACGGUCCAUAUUCAUUUGGAGGGACUAUAUAAGCAGACCCCCUGGCCCUUGGAGGAGAGGACCGGAGAAACCCUAAUUCAUUCGUACAUCUUUGGAGAAGAAGUCCCUGAUCAAGCACUAGAGCCACCACAUCAACUAGAUCUCUAGUUUUGCAUCUCUAGUUUAGCAUAGCUACAUAGGAUUAGAACUAGAAGGAAUCAAUCUUCGAUUGGUUUCCGGAUCUGUCAAGAGGACUCUUGGUAAUUCCUCAACUGUUCUUCAUUUGUUCAUCAUUGUUCUUCAAUAUUAUGAAUAUGACUUUAUUCUACUUCAAUAUAUUGAUUAUGACUUUGCUCUACUUGUUUAUAUUUGCAAUUAUAUUGUUCUUAAUUUAUCAUAGUUAUAUGCUUGUCGUAGUCAGAUUGGAAUUAUAUACAUGUUUAGGAUCAUAUAGCGUUUAUCCAUGUGUACAAUGGGUAAAUGAUAAGUAUUAUGUAGGCGUGGUGCCUAUGCCGUAUUUAUCUGCGAUUGUACCCUAUAUGCCGGAUCGCGGGGUAGUUCGUGGUGGUGACAGCUCCAUUGAUUCUUGUAUAGUCCCCCUCUCGUGUAUAGGGCAGGUAGAGCAACAUUAUUACAGGGGAGUGAUUGCUAUGUUUCUUAUCUUCCUUGAUAAUAUCACUAUGCAUGGGCGUAGUCCUGUCUCGCAAUGAUUGCCAAGUAUAAUUGCACUAACUAUGAUAUGCUAGACUUUAUAGUUAAGAAUAACUUAGGAAAUAUUCUUGUAGUUCAUCCUAAUUCCAUGCUAAUGACUUGCUAGAAUAUCUGUUGAGGUGCUUAUCAUUAUUAUAUGUGGCUAGUUAUGCUGAUCAGAUUAAUUAUGUUUGUCACCAGUCAUACUUUUUCUAUAUUUUAUGUGACAUUUAUCCCUGUAUGAAAGAGAUAGAUAAAUGCUCUCCAUUAUACAUGCAAUGAUGGAUACUCAAUUCCAUAUUUCAUUCCAUAAUCAACAUUGAAGAUUAGCAAUCCCUUCCCAGUGGUAAAAAUAUAAAUAACGAUACCUGGAAUACUUUCCGAUUAAAAUGCUACAUCGGUAUUAAUCUGUGCGCUUGCAGAUCUCAUUUAUUAUUCAUUCAGAAGAGCAAUUGCAUAUUUCAUUACCGCGUCUCUCAUGUCAUGCUGGGGAUGACAACUUGGCUUAAGUGGAAUGAGGGAUAGGUUUGGCAUUUUGGGCACCAUUAUCAGAACUAGAAAACUAAGUCUACUUUUGGUAAUGACGUUAAGAAUGCCCAAAAGAUGUGAACCUAACGGUAUACCUAAAGCUUUGAUUACCACUUGAUGAGAACAAGGGUGGCCCGAUCUUCCGAAAGGUUUUGAUAACUCUCGAUUUGGUGGAGACGAGACACAAUUCGAUCCGGCUUCCGAACAACACGAUCUGAAACCCUGCAAUUUUUUUUCGAUAUUUUUCUUUUAGUUACGAGCACCAAAGGAGUAACCACAGAAAAUUUGAGCUUAAACAAGUGAAACACAUGGCCUGCGGAAUUUUUUGAAGAUUGUGAAAAAUGUGAAAAAAACUUGACGAGGUGAAAACUCAAAAUUUGGAGGUGAAUUUGGAGGUUCUAUAAUUUUCAAACCCACCAAUGGAGGGGACAGACAUAUCUGAAAUUUUUUUUUGAUCAAUUUUGAUAUAUGGAACGUUGAAAUCGGAGUUCGUAUGCGAAAGUUAUGGCUAUUUUACGAACGGACUCCAAAUUAGAGGACAAAAUGGUCCGAAAGUAGGAAAAAUUCGCGGCAGUGGCUAGAAAUUGAUGGAAACGGUGGGAAAAAACACACAAACUGGACUCUAACAAGACCUAACCAGCAACAAGACCUCGACCAGGACACAAACUCAACACUGUGGACUGUCAAACUGAAAUAUACAAAGGCUAUGGCGCGGAAGGGUUGUAGGACAAUAAAACGAUAUGACACUAGACUUAUGGGACAAACACAAGAACACUCAAAAGUAAGGGUAGAUGUGAACCUAAUGGUAUACCUAAAGCUUUGAUUACCACAUGAUGAGAAUAAGGGUGAUCCGAUCUUCUGAAAGGUUCUGGUAACUCUCAAUUUGGUGGAGACGAGACACAAAUCGAUACGGCUUCCGAAUAACAUGAUCCGAAACGCUACAAAAUUUUUUUAUUUUUUUGAUAUUUUACUUUUAGUUAGGAGCACCAAAGGAGUAACCAUAGAAAAUUUGAGAAUAAACAAGUGAAAUACAUGGCCUGCGAAAUUUUCUGAAGAUUGUGAAAAAUGUGAAACAAACUUCAUGAGGUGAAAACUCAAACUUCGGAGGUGAAUUUGGAGGUUCUAAAAUUUUCAAACCCGCCAACGGAAGGGACAGACAGAUCCAAAAUUUUUUUCUGAUCGAUUUUGAUAUAUGGAAUGUUGAAAUCGGAGUUUGUAUGUGAAUGUUAUGGGUAUUUUACGAAUAGACUCCGAAUUAGAGGACAAAACGGUCUGAAAGUGGGAAAAAAUUGCGGCAGUGGCUAGAAUUUGAUGGAAACUGUGGGGAAAAACACAUGAACUGGACUCUAACAAGGCUUAACCAGCAACAAGACCUCGACGAGGACACAAACUCAACACUGCGGACUCUAAAACUAAAAUAUGCAAAGGCUAUGACGCGGAAGGGUUGUAGGACAAGAAAACAAUAUGACACAGGACUUAUGGGACGAACCAAGAACACUCGAAACUAAAGGUAGAUGUGAACCUAACGGUAUACCUAAAGCUUUGAUUUCCACAUAUGAGAACAAGGGUGACCCGAUCUUCUGAAGUUCUGGUAACUCUCGAUUUGGUGGAGACGAGACACAAAUCGAUCCGUCUUCCGAACAACACGAUCCGAAACCCUGCAAUUUUUUUUUGAUAUUUUUCUUUUAGUUAGAGCACCAAAGGAGUGACCACAGAAAAUUUGAGCUUAAACUAGUGAAAGACAUGGCCUACGAAAAUUUCUGAAAAUUAUGUAAAAUGUGAAAAAAAAACAUCACGAGGUGAAAACUCAAACUUCAGAGGUGAAUUUGGAGGUUCUAAAGUUUUCAAACUCGCCAAUGGAGGGGACAGAGAGAUCCGAAAUUUUUUUUCGAUCGAUUUUGAUAUAUUGAACGUUGAAAUCAGAGCUCGUAUGCGAAAGUUAUGGCUAUUUUACAAACGGACUCCAAAUUAGAGGACAAAAUGGUCCGAAAGUGGAAAAAAUUUGCGGCGGUGGCUAGAAAUUGAUGGAAACGGUGGGGGAAAAUACAUGAACUGGACUCUAAUAAGACCUAACCAGCAAUAAGACCUCGACGAGGACACAAACUCAACACUGCGGACUCUGAAACUGAAAUAUGCAAAGGCUAUGACGUGGAAGGGUUGUAGGACAAGAAAACGAUAUGACACUGCACUUAUGGGACGAACACAAGAACACUCAAAACUAAGGGUAGAUGUGAACCUAAUGGUAUACCUAAAGCUUUGAUUCCCACAUGAUGAGAACAACGGUGACCCGAUCUUCUAAAAGGUUCUGGUAACUCUCGAUUUGGUGGAGACGAGACACGAAUCGAUCCGGCUUCCGAACAACACGAUCCGAAACCCUGCAAUUUUUUUUAUUUUUUUGAUAUUUUUCUUUUAGUUAGAGCACCAAAGGAGUAACCACAGAAAAUUUGAGCUUAAACCAGUGAAAGACAUGGCCUACGAAAAUUUCUGAAAAUUGUGAAAAAUGUGAAAAAAACAUCACGAGGUGAAAACUCAAACUUCAGUUGUGAAUUUGGAGGUGCUAAAAUUUUCAAACCAGCCAAGGGAGGGGAGACAGAUCCGAAAUUUUUUUCUGAUCGAUUUUGAAAUAUGGAACAUUGAAAUCGGAGCUCGUAUGCGAAAGUUAUGGCUAUUUUACGAACGGACUCCAAAUUCGAGGACAAAACGGUGCGAAAGUGGGCAAAAUUUACGGUGGUGGCUAGAAAUUGAUGGAAACGGUGGGGGAAAAUAUAUGAACUGGACUCUAACAAGACCUAACCAGCAACAAGACCUCGACGAGGACACAAACUCAACACUGCGGACUCUAAAACUGAAAUAUGCAAAGGCUAUGGCGUGGAAGGGUUGUAGGACAGAAAAACGAUAUGACACUGGACUUAUGGGACGAACACAAGAACACUCGAAACUAAGGGUAGAUUUGAACCUAAUGGUAUAUCUAAAUCUUUGAUUUCCACAUGAUGAGAACAAGGGUGACCCAAUCUUCUGAAAGGUUCUGGUAACUCUCGAUUUGGUGGAGACGAGACACAAAUCGAUCCGGGUUCCGAACAACACGAUCCGAAACCCUACAAUUUUUUUUAUUUUUUUGAUAUUUUUCUUUUAGUUAGAGCACCAAUGGAGUAACCACAGAAAAUUUGAGCUUAAACCAGUGAAAAACAUGGCCUACGAAAAUUUCUGAAAAUUGUGAAAAAUGUGAAAAAAACAUCACGAGGUGAAAACUCAAACUUCGGAGGUGAAUUUGGAGGUUCUAACUUUUCAAACCUACCAAUGGAGUGACAAACAGAUCCAAAAUUUUUUUCUGAUCGAUUUUGAUAUAUGGAACGUUGUAAAUGGAGCUCGUAUGUGAAAGUUAUGGCUAUUUUACGAACGGACUCCAAGUUAGAGGACAAAACGGUCCGAAAGUGGGAAAAAUUUGCGGUGGUGGCUAGAAAUUGAUGGAAACGGUGGGGGAAAAUACAUGAACUGGACUCUAACAAGACCUAACCAGCAACAAGACCUCGACAAGGACACAAACUCAACACUGCGGACUCUGAAACUGAAAUAUGCAAAGGCUAUGGCGCGGAAGGGUUGUAGGACAGGAAAACCAUAUGACACUGGACUUAUGGGACGAACACAAGAACACUCGAAACUAAGGGUAGAUUUGAACCUAACGGUAUACCUAAAGCUUUGAUUACCACAUGAUGAGAACAAGGGUGACCCGAUCUUCUGAAAGGUUCUCGUAACUCUCGAUUUGGUGGAGACGAGACACAAUUUAAUCCGGCUUUCGAACAACACGAUCCAAAACCCUGCAAAUUUUUUUAUUUUUUUGAUAUUUUUCUUAUAGUUAGGAGCACCAAAGGAGUAACCACACAAUAUUUGAGCUUAAACCAGUGAAAUUUUCUCAAAGUUGUGAAAAUGUGAAAAAAAACUUCAUGAGGUGAAAACUCAAAUUUCGGAGGUGAAUUUGGAGGUUCCAAAAUUUUCAAACCUGCCAAUGGAGUGGACAGACAGAUCCGAAAUUUUUUUCUGAUCAAUUUUGAUAUAUGGAACGUUGAAAUCGGAGCUCGUAUGCGAAAGUUAUGGCUAUUUUACAAACGGACUCCAAAUUAGAGGACAAAAUGGUCGAAAAGUGGGAAAAAUUUGCGACGGUGGCUAGAUAUUGAUGGAAACGGUGCUGGAAAACACACGAACUGGACUCUAACAAGACCUAACAAGCAACAAGACCUCGACGAGGACACAAACUCAACACUGCGGACUCUGAAACUGAAAUAUGCAAAGGCUAUGACACGGAAGGGUUGUAGGACAAGAAAACGAUAUGACACUGCACUUAUUGGACGAACACAAGAACACUUGAAACUAAGGGCAGAUGUGAACCUAAUGGUAUACCUAAAGCUUUUAUUUCCACAUGAUGAGAACAAGGGUGACCCGAUCUUCUGAAAGGUUCUGGUAACUCUCGAUUUGGUGGAGACAAGACAUAAAUCGAUCCGGCUUCCGAACAACACGAUCCGAAAACCGGUAAUUUUUUUAUUUUUUGAUAUUUUCUUUUAGUUAGAGCACCAGAGGAGUAACCACAGAAAAUUUGAGCUUAAACUAGUGAAAGACAUGGCCUACGAAAAUUUCUGAAAAUUGUGAAAAAUGUGAAAAAAACAUCACGAGGUGAAAACUCAAACUUCAGAGGUGAAUUUGGAGGUUCUAAAAUUUUCAAACUCGCCAAUGGAGGGGACAGACAGAUCUCAAAAUUUUUUCUGAUCAAUUUUGAUAUAUGGAACGUUGAAAUCGGAGUUCGUAUGCGAAAGUUAUGGCUAUUUUACGAACGGACUCCAAAUUAGAGGGCAAAAUGGUCCGAAAGUAGGAAAAAUUCGCGGCGGUGGCUAGAAAUUGAUGGAAACGGUGGGGAAAAACACACAAACUGGACUCUAACAAGACCUAACCAGCAACAAGACCUCGACCAGGACACAAACUCAACACUGUGUACUGUGAAACUGAAAUAUGCAAAGGCUAUGGCGCGGAAGGGUUGUAGGACAAGAAAACGAUAUGACACUGGACUUAUGGGACAGACACAAGAACACUGAAAAGUAAGGGUAGAUGUGAACCUAAUGGUAUACCUAAAGCUUUGAUUACUAUAUGAUGAGAAUAAGGGUGACCCGAUCUUCUAAAAGGUUCUGGUAACUCUCGAUUUGGUUAAGAUGAGACACAAAUCGAUACGGCUUCCGAAUAACAUGAUCCGAAACGCUGCAAAAUUUUUUUUAUUUUUUUGAUAUUUUACUUUUAGUUAGGAGCACCAAAGGAGUAACCAUAGAAAAUUUGAGCAUAAACAAAUCAAACACAUGGCCUGCGGAAUUUUCUGAAGACUGUGAAAAAUGUGAAAAAAACUUCAUGAGGUAAAAACUCAAACUUCGGAGGUGAAUUUGGAGGUUCUAAAAUUUUUAAACUCGCCAAUGGACGGGACAGACAGAUCCAAGAAUUUUUUCUAAUCGAUUUUGAUAUAUGGAACGUUGAAAUCAGAGUUUGUAUGCGAAAGUUAUGUCUAUUUUACGAACAGACUCCAAAUUAGAGGACAAAACGGUCCGAAAGUGGGAAAAAUUUGCGGUGGUGGCUAGAAAUUGAUGGAAACGGUGGGGAAAAAUACAUGAACUGAACUCUAACAAGACCUACCCUACAAUAACACCUCGACGAGGACACAAACUCAACACUGCGGACUCUGAAACUGAAAUAUGCAAAGGCUAUGACGCGGAAGGGUUGUAGGACAAGAAAACGAUAUGACACUGGACUUAUGGGACGAACACAAGAACACUCGAAACUAAUGGUAGAUGUGAACCUAAUGGUAUACCUAAAGCUUUGAUUAUCACUUGAUGGGAACAAGGGUGGCCCGAUCUUCCAAAAUGUUCUGGUAACUCUCGAUUUGGUGGAGACGAGACACAAAUCGAUCCGGCUUUCGAAUAACAUGAUCCAAAACCCUGCGUUUUUUAUUUUUUUGAUAUUUUUCUUUUAGUCAGGAGCACCAAAGGAGUAACCAUAGAAAAUGAGCUUAAACAAGUAAAAGACAUGGCCUGCGGACUUUUCUGAAGAUUGUGAAAAAUGUGAAAAAACAUCACGAGGUGAAAACUCAAACUUCAGAAGUGAAUUUGGAGGUACUAAAAUUUUCAAACCCGCCAAUGGAGGGGACAGACAGAUCCAAAAAAUUUUUCUGAUCGAUUUUGAUGUAUGGAAUGUUGAAAUCGGAGUUUGUAUGCGAAAGUUAUGGCUAUUUUACAAACGGACUCCGAAUUAGAGGACAAAACGGCGGUGCCUAGAAAUUGAUGGAAACGGUGGGGAAAAAGACAUGAACUGGACUCUAACAAGACUUAACCAGCAAGAAGACCUCGACCAGGACACAAACUCAACACUGCGGACUCUAAAACUGAAUUAUGCAAAGGCUAUGGCGCGGAAGGGUUGUAGGACAAGAAAAUGAUAUAGCACUGGACUUAUAGGGACAAACACGAGAACACUCGAAACUAAGGGUAGAUGUGAACCUAAUGGUAUACCUAAAGCUUUGAUUUCCACAUGAUGAGAACAAGGGUGACCCGAUCUUCUGAAAGGUUCUGGUAACUCUCGAUUUGGUGGAGACGAGACACAAAUCGAUCCGGCUUCCGAACAACACGAUCCGAAACCCUGCAAUUGUUUUAUUUUUUUUGAUAUUUUUCUUUUAGUUAGAGCACCAAAGGAGUAACCACAGAAAAUUUGAGCUUAAACCAGUGAAAGACAAGGUCUACGAAAAUUUCUGAAAAUUGUGAAAAAUGUGAAAAAAACAUCAUGAGGUGAAAACUCAAACUUCAGAGGUGAAUUUGGAGGUCCUAAAAUUUUCAAACCAGCCAAUGGAGGGGACAGACAGAUCUGAAAUUUUUUUCUGAUCGAUUUUGAUAUAUGGAACAUUGAAAUCGGAGCUCGUAUUCGAAUGAUAUGGCUAUUUUACGAACGGACUCCAAAUUAGAUGACAAAACGGUCCGAAAGUGGGAAAAAUUUGCGGUGGUGGCUAGAAAUUGAUGAAAACGGUGGGGGAAAAUACAUGAACUGGACUCUAACAAGACCUAACCAGCAACAAGACCUCGACGAGGACACAAACUCAAAACUGCGGACACUAAAACUGAAAUAUGCAAAGGCUAUGACGCGGAAGGGUUGUAGGACAAGAAAACGAUAUGACACUGGACUUAUGGGACAAACCAAGAACACUCAAAACUAAGGGUAGAUGUGAACCUAACGGUAUACCGAAAGUUUUGAUUUCCACAUAUGAGAACAAGGGUGACCCGAUCUUCUGAAGUUCUGGUAACUCUCGAUUUGGUGGAGACGAGACACAAAUCGAUCCGGCUUCCGAACAACACGAUCCGAAAACCUGUAAUUUUUUUUUGAUAUUUUUCUUUUAGUUAGAGCACCAAAGGAGUGACCACAGAAAAUUUGAGCUUAAACUAGUGAAAGACAUGGCCUACGAAAAUUUCUAAAAAUUGUGAAGAAUGUGAAAAAAAAACAUCACGAGGUGAAAACUCAAACUUCAGAGGUGAAUUUGGAGGUUCUAAGCUUUUCAAACUUGCCAAUGGAGGGGACAGGGAGAUCUGAAAUUUUUUUCUGAUCGAUUUCGAUAUAUGGAACAUUGAAAUCAGAGCUCGUAUGUGACAGUUAUGGCUAUUUUACGAACGGACUCCAAAUUAGAGGACAAAAUUGUUCGAAAGUGGGAAAAAUUUGCGGCGGUGGCUAGAAAUUAAUGGAAACGGUGGGGGAAAAUACAUGAACUGGACUCUAACAAGACCUAACCAGCAAUAAGACCUCGACGAGGACACAAACUCAACACUGCGGACUCUGAAACUGAAAUAUGCACAGGCCAUGACGUGGAAGGGUUGUAGGACAAGAAAACGAUAUGACACUACACUUAUGGGACGAACACAAGAACACUCGAAACUAAGGGUAGAUGUGAACCUAAUGGUAUCCCUAAAGCUUUGAUUUCCACAUGAUGAGAACAAGGGUGACCCGAUCUUCUGAAAGGUUCUGGUAACUCUCGAUUUGGUGGAGACGAGACACAAAUCGAUCCGGCUUCCGAACAACACGAUCCGAAAACCUGUAAUUUUUUUUGAUAUUUUUCUUUUAGUUAGAGCACCAAAGGAGUGACCACAGAAAAUUUGAGCUUAAACUAGUGAAAGACAUGGCCUACGAAAAUUUCUGAAAAUUGUGAAGAAUGUGAAAAAAAAACAUCACGAGGUGAAAACUGAAACUUCAGAAGUGAAUUUGGAGGUUCUAAGGUUUUCAAACUUGCCAAUGGAGGGGACAGGGAGAUCUGAAAUUUUUUUCUGAUCGAUUUCGAUAUAUGGAACAUUGAAAUCAGAGCUCGUAUGUGACAGUUAUGGCUAUUUUACGAACGGACUCCAAAUUAGAGGACAAAAUUGUCCGAAAGUGGGAAAAAUUUGCGGCGGUGGCUAGAAAUUGAUGGAAACGGUGGGGGAAAAUACAUGAACUGUUCUCUAACAAGACCUAACCAGCAAUAAGACCUCGACGAGGACACGAACUCAACACUGCGGACUCUGAAACUGAAAUAUGCAAAGGCUAUGACACGGAAGCGUUGUAGGACAAGAAAACGAUAUGACACUGCACUUAUGGGACGAACACAAGAACACUCAAAACUAAGGGUAGAUGUGAACAUAAUGGUAUACCUAAAGCUUUGAUUUCCACAAGAUAAGAACAAGGGUGACCGGAUCUUCUGAAAGGUUCUGGUAACUCUCGAUUUGGUGGAGACGAGACACAAAUCCAUCCGGCUUCCGAACAACAUGAUCCGAAACCGUGCAAUUUUUUUUAUUUUUUUGAUAUUUUUCUUUUAGUUAGAGCACCAAACGAGUAACCAUAGAAAAUUUGAGCUUAAACCAGUGAAAGACAUGGCCUACGAAAAUUUCUGAAAAUUGUGAAAAAUGUGAAAAAAACAUCACGAGGUGAAAACUCAAACUUCAGAGGUGAAUUUGGAUGUUCUAAAAUUUCCAAUCCCGCCAAUGGAGGAAACAGACAGAUCCGAAAUUUUUUUCUGAUCGAUUUUGAUAUAUGGAACGUUGAAAUCGGAGCUCGUAUGCGAAAGUUAUGACUAUUUUCCGAACGGACUCCAAAUUAGAGGACAAAACGGUCCGAAAGUGGGAAAAAUUUGCGGCGGUGGCUUGAAAUUUAUGGAAACGGUGGGGGAAAAUACAUGAAUUGGACUCUAACAAGACCUAACCAGCAACAAGACAUCGACAAGGACACAAACUCAACACUGCAGACUCUGAAACUUAAAUAUGCAAAGGCUAUGGCGCGGAAGGGUUGUAGGACAAGAAAACGAUAUGACACUGGACUUAUGGGACGAACACAAGAACACUCGAAACUAAGUGUAGAUUUAAACCUAAUGGUAUACCUAAAGCUUUGAUUACCACAUGAUGAGAACAAGGGUGACCCGAUCUUCUAAAAGGUUCUGGUAACUCAAGAUUUGGUGCAGACGAGACACAAAUUGAUCCGGCUUCCGAACAACAUGAUCCGAAAUCCUGCAAUUUCUUUUAGUUAGGAGCACCCAAGGAGUAACCAUAGAAAUUUUGAGCUUAAACCAGUGAAAGACAUGGCCUACGAAAAUUUCUGAAAAUUGUGAAAAAUGUGAAAAAAACUUCACGAGGUGAAAACUCAAACUUCGGACGUGAAUUUGGAGUUUUCUAAAAUUUUCAAACCCGCCAAUAGAAGGGACACACAGAUCCAAAAUUUUUUUUAAUCGAUUUUGAUAUAUGAAACGUUGAAAUUGAAGUUUUUAUGCAAAAGUUAUGGCUAUUUUAUUAAAGGACUCCGAAUUAGAGGACAAAACGAUCCGAAAGUGGAAAAAAUUUACGGCAGGUGCUAGAAAUUGAUGGAUACGGUGGGGAAAAACACACAAACUGGACUCUAACAAGACCUAACCAGCAACAAAACCUCGACGAGGACACAAACUCAACACUGCGGACUCUGAAACUGAAAUAUGCAAAGGCUAUGGCGCAGAAGGGUUGUAGGACAGGAAAACGAUAUGGCACUGGACUUAUGGGACGAAUACAAGAACACUCGAAACUAAGGGUAGAUGUGAACCUAAUGGUAUACCUAAAUCUUUGAUUACCACUUGAUGAGAACAAGGCUGGCCUGAUCCUCCGAAAGGUUCUGGUAACUCUGGUGGAGACGAGACACAAAUCGAUCCGGCUUUCGAACAACAUGAUCCAAAACCCUACAAUUUUUUUAUUUUUUUGAUAUUUUUCAUUUAGUUAGGAGCACCGAAGGAGUAACCAUAAAAAAUUUGUGCUUAAACAAGUGAAAGACAUGGCCUGCGGACUUUUCUGAAGAUUGUGAAAAAUGUGAAAAGAACAUCGCGAGGUGAAAACUCAAAUUUCAGAGGUGAAUUUGGAGGUACUAAAAUUUUCAAACCUACCAAUGGAGGGGACGGACAGAUCCAAUUUUUUUUUCUGAUCGAUUUUGAUGUAUGGAACGUUGAAAUUGGAGUUCGUAUGCGAAAGUUAUGGCUAUUUUACGAACGCACUCUGAAUUAGAGGAUAAAACGGCGGUGGCUAGAAAUUGAUGGAAACGGUGGGGAAAAAGACAUGAACUGGACUCUAACAAGACCUAACCAACAACAAGACCUCAACCAGGACACAAACUCAACACUGUGGUCUCUAAAACUGAAAUAUGCAAAGGAUAUGGCGCGAAAGGGUUGUAGGACAAGAAAAUGAUAUCGCACUGGACUUAUAGGGACAAACACAAGAACACUCGAAACUAAGGGUAGAUGUGAACCUAACGGUAUACCUAAAGCUUUGAUUACGACUUGAUGAGAACAAGGGUGGCCCGAUCUUCCGAAAGGUUCUAGUAACUCUUGAUUUGGUGGAGACGAGACACAAAUCGAUCCGGCUUCCAAACAACACGAUGCGAAACCCUGCAAUUUUUUUUAUUUUUUUGAUAUUUGUCUUUUAGUUAGAGCACCAAAGGAGUAACCACAGAAAAUUUGAGCUUAAACAAGUAAAAGACAUGGCCUGCUGAAUUUUCUGAAGAUUGUGAAAAAUGUAAAAAUAACUUCAUGAGGUAAAAACUCAAACUUCGGAGGUGAAUUUGGAGGUUCUAAAUUUUUCAAACCUUCCAAUGGAGGGGACAGACAUAUCCAAAAAUUUUUUCUGAUCAAUUCUGAUAUAUGAAACGUUAAAAUCGGAGUUCGUAUGCGAAAGUUAUGGCUAUUUUACGAACGGACUCCGAAUUAGAGGACAAAACGAUCCGAAAGUGGGAACAAUUUGCGGCGGUGGCUAGAAAUUGAUGGAAACAGUGGGCAAAAACAAAUGAACUGGACUCUAACAAGACCUAACCAACAACAAGACCUCGACCAGGACACAAACUCAACACUGCGGACUCUGAAACUAAAAUAUGCAAAGGCUAUGGCGCGGAAGGGUUGUAGGACAGAAAAACGAUAUGGCACUAGACUUAUGGGACAAACACAAGAACACUCGAAACUAAGGGUAGAUGUGAGCCUAAUGGUAUACCUAAAGCUUUGAUUACCACUUGAUGAGAACAAAGGUGGCCCGAUCUUCUGAAAGGUUGUGGUAACUCUCGAUUUGGUGGAGACGAGACACAAAUCGAUCAGCUUCCGAACAACACGAUCCGAAACCCUGCAAUUGUUUUUCUAUUUUUUUUGAUAUUUUUCUUUUAGUUAGGAGCACAAAAGGAGUAACCACAGAAAAUUUGAGCUUAAACAAGUGAAAGACAUGGCCUGCGGAAUUUUCUGAAGAUUGAGAAAAAUGUGAAAAAAACUUCACGUGGUGAAAACUCAAACUUCGGAGGUGAAUUAUGAGAUUCUAAAGGUUUCAAAUCCACCAAUGGAGGGGACAGACAGAUACAAAAAAUUUUCUGAUCAAUUUUGAUAUAUGGAACGUUGAAAUCGGAGUUCGUAUGCGAAAGUUAUGGCUAUUUUUCAAACGGACUCCGAAUUAGAGGACAAAACGGUCCGAAAGUGGGAAAAAUUUGCGGCGGUGGCUAGAAAUUGAUGGAAAUAGUGGGGAAAAACAUAUGAACUGGACUUGAUAAAGACCUAACGAGCAACAAGACCUCGACCAGGACACAAACUCAACACUGUGGACUCUCAAACUGAAAUAUGCAAAGGCUAUGGCGUGUAAGGGUUGUAGGACAGGAAAAUGAUAUGGCACUGGACUUAUGGGACGAACCCAAGAACACUCGAAACUAAGGGUAGAUAUCAACCUAACGGUACACCUAAAGCUUUGAUUACCACUUGAUGAGAACAAGGGCGGCCCGAUCUUCCGAAAGGUUCUGGUAACUCUCGAUUUGGUGGAGACGAGACACAAAUCGAUCCGGCUUCCGAACAACACGAUCUGAAAGCCUACAAUUUUUUUUAUUUUUUUGAUAUUUUUCUUUGAGUUCGGAGCACCAAAGGAGCAACCACAGAAAAUUUGAGCUUAAACAUGUGAAAGACAUGGCCUGUGGAAUUUUCUGAAGAUUGUGGAAAAUGUGAAAAAACUUCGCGAGGUGAAAACUCAGACUUCGGAGGUGAAUUUGGAGGUUUUAAAGUUUUCAAACCCCCCAAUGGAGGGGACACACAGAUCCAAAAAAUUUUUCUAAUCGAUUUUGAUAUAUGGAACAUUGAAAUCGGAGUUCGUAUGCGAAAGUUAUGGUUAUUUUACGAACGGACUCCGAAUUAGAGGACAAAACGGUCCGAAAGUGAGAAUAAUUUGCGGUGGUGGC